UAAGUUACCCCCACCAUCUCCUCCAGUUUACAAGUCCUCACCACCACCUUACCACUACUCACCACCUCCGGUGUAUUCACCUCCACCAUCACCAGUUUACAAGUCACCACCACUACCCCCACCGGUAUACAACUCCCCGCCUCCACCAGUGUACAAAUACAAGUCACCACCACCACCUCCUCCAGUUUACAAAUCUCCACCGCCACCAGUUUACAAGUACAAGUCACUCCCACCACCUCCUCCGGUAUACAAGUCUCCUCCGCCACCUGUUUACGAGUACAAGUCUCCUCCACCACCUCCUCCAGUGUACAAGUCCCCACCACCUCCAGUUUACAAGUACAACUCACCACCACCUCCUCCCCCAGUUUACCAAUCUCCACCACCACCAGUUUACAAAUACAAGUCACCACCACCUCCUCCCCCAGUUUACCAGUCUCCACCUCCACCCUAUCAUCACUACUACGGUUCUCCUCCUCCUCACCACUACUAAGCAAGUGCAUCUAAGUUUUGAGGUAAUAAUACCUAUCCAAAACUUUAUCAACACAAACUGUCAUGUAUAUCAUGCUAAGGACGUACACUUGAUCCAUGAAAAUGACUAGUAGAAGAUUUUUUUUAAGAAUCAAAGAAAUACAUUAUUUUUUCGGUCUGUUUUCAAGAAUUUGAUCAGUAUACAGAUUAAAGAGUGUUUUUUUCUUUUUUAACUUGCUUAUCAACUUAGAAAUGCACAUAGCUGAAAGCCAACUGAAUAUUUGCAGGCAAAGGAGAAGGCAAUCGGUGUUUGAGACCUUCAUGAAGAUGCAGAAGAAUAAGAAUAAAAGCCCAAUGCGACGAUGAUUUCAAGUUUCUACGUUACCAUUUCAACAUCUAAAUUGACUUUAGCUCCUGAGUUCCAUGUUCAUGGGGUUUGUACCGUUUUACGUGCCAUGCAGUACAUGCUUGUAAGGCUUUCUGUCCUGUUGGCAAACCGCAGGUCCAUAUAAUAAAUGAAUACUAUUUAUAUUACGACACUUUUCUCUCUUUCUCUUAUAUUUUGUCUUUAAUAUUGUUGAUCAUUUUUUUUUAUCAAAAGUAUCAAAUGCUUAGGUAAUUUGGUCUAAUGCUAAUUGUAUUACUUUUAUUUUUCACCUACUUCCCUUUUCAACUCAAAGGAUGCUAUAGUUUGUGAUCAUUGUUUAAGACCGAAGCAUGAUACUAAUAAAUAUCUCAUUGACAGUCAAGGAAACUAACAUUGUGAAAAGUGUAAAUCUUGAUUUCAUGAAACUAUUUAUUCGUGGAAUUUAGAGAUACAAAACUCAAAUUGUGACGGUGUUGUUGGUAAAUUAUGAAGGACAUUAUCACCAUUAUUUUUCCCUUACUAGUUUCAACUGCAAUGAUCUAAGAGUAAUUCUACUUUACCCUAAGAUUGAUAUCAACGAGACAAUGACAAUUUAGAAUUAUUACACGCCUCUUCUUAAUAGGAAAAAUAAAUAGAGAAGAAAGUCAGGCCAGGUCUAAUUCUUUUUCAAAGGCAAUACAACAUUACGAAAUCAAGCAUUCAUUCAUACAAAUAUUUCAUAGUCACCGGUUUGCUGAGUAGAAAAGUUUAUACAAAAACUUAAUAUUAUAUUGUUUAAGAGUUAACAAUUUAGAGCUUAAUCCUGAUACUAGCAUGCUUAUCUAAUGAAUCGCGAUUGUCAAAUAAAUUUACAGUUCGAGGAAAACCCAUUCUAACAAGUGUGUGUUGAGGUUUGGUUAUGAUACCUUCCUAUUAUUUAAAAACUCUCACAUAAUCUCCUUCCACUUUGGACUAAACUCGAACGUGAAAGGAAAUCCCAAAACCAUAUUGGGCAUGAAUUCACACAUAAUACUUAAUAGACCCAAAAAAGGCAGCGGAGACUGGUGGAGAGAUUUGAGGAAUAGAAGCAGACGGAAAAGCAACAAAUUUUGGCCGAAAAACGGUCACUUUCAUGGUUAAUUUUUCUACUCUCUAAUUGUACUUACCAAAUGCAACAGUGAAAUUGUAAUAUAAGCUGAAGAUGGAGUUUGAUACGUGAAAAGAAUUUUUUUAUAAAUUUUAUUUUGACCCAUAAUGUUAUCUUUAGAUACAUAAAAUAUUUUAAAAUUUUGAUUUUUGCCCAGUUAACUUUUGGUAAACAAAAAAUGCUCAGGUUUAAAAAACCGGAAAUAAAAUAAAACAAGAAAUGAAAGAAAUAAGAGGGUAGCAUAGACAUUUGGAUUUUUCCGUUAAUUUGGAUGAUUUCCACCCACAUUCUAAUUUAAUCCAAAACACAAAGGAAUAAUGUGGAGAUUUUUAAAUAAUGACGGAGUUUCGUGAUCGAAUCCCAAACCACAAGGGGAUUUACUAUAUUUUACUCUUAAAUUUUGGUUUCAUCUCAUACAAGAGUACUAUUUCACUAUCUGCAUGUAGACAAAGACUUUCUAUGGUUGAUGUACUAUAGGAAAAAUCUGCCAUACAAUGUGAUAGUAUUUUUUCAAAAACACAAGAUGGAAAAUUGCCCCCUUAAACGUGGAAAUUCAUGAUCUUUCCUCGAACUAGUCUACUUGUCAAUUCUUGAAAAAAGAAUAUUCACGCCUAAAACAGGGCCUCUUCAUCUGCACUGUCCCGCAGAAUUCUAAAAAGUUAGGUAAACUCUAUAAACAAGUUGAUAGGCACAAUACUACCCAAGAUCAAGUACAAGUAGUUGUACAUUCACUGCUGCAAUAACUAAUCUGAUGACUUACAAACACUUCAUGGUCAAUCUUUGAAUGGUAAUGAGUCUUUUGUUAUGCGUUAGUGUGCACCCUCUAAUGGAUUGAUACUUAUACUCUUUAAAUUAUCAUGAUAAUACCCUUAAUUAGAUUUAACUCUUAAAAAGAAUAUAUAUUAAUACACGAGAGUAUGUAACCUGAAUUGUUACUUAUACAUUAGUGUAUAAUAGAAUGGCAAGCUUUAUGGUGGUCAUUGAACAACUUAUAGGAGAAAUAGUCCUAUAAGCUGUUCAAUGACCAAUCACAACUUGCUAAUUGGAUGAAAAUCUAUUUUCCAGAUUCUAAUGAGAGUUAUGAAUUUACCAGUAAAAUUGCAAAAGCAACUGCAGGACUGAGAAUUCUAACCAUAAGCAAAGUGUGCAUGCUUGACCAGUUUUGGUCACUGCAUGCAACUUUUAAAAACUUUCAGCUAUCACUUCUUCCGUACCAAUAAAAUUUUGCAGCAUGUAAAGAAGAGUUUCUCAAGAAAACAGACACACAAUCUAUACAAAAGUAUGGAGUACAAUCUUUCUCAAGUCCGAAAUUUGCAACCAAAAUAUUACAAAAAAAAGUAAACUUUAACAUCAUAAAUAUUCUUACCACCUCCAGUGCAUUCGCCCUCACCACCACCAGUUUACAAGUCACCCCCACCACCUUACCACUAUUCCUCACUGCCACCUCCAGUGCAUUCACCUCCACCACCACCUGUUUAUAAGUCACCUCCACCACCUUAUCAUUAUUUGUCACCACCACCUGCAGCGCUUUCACCUCCACCAUCACUAGUUUACAAAUCACCACCACCAUCUUCCCAGUGUACAAGUCCCCUCCACCACCUGUUUACAAGUCUUCGCUGCUAUCUCCCCCAGUAUAUAAGUCAUCCCUACCACCGCCUCCACUGUACAAGUCUCUGCCGCCACCAAUCUACAAGUACAAUUCACCACCACUCCCGCCUCCAAUUUACAAGUCCCUACCACCACCUAUUUACAAAUACAAGUCUCCCCCACCAACUCCUCCGAUAUACAAGUCAUCUCCACCGCCUCCUCCAAUUUAUGAGUCUCCUUGUCCACCAGUUUACGAGCACAAGUCUCAUCCACCGCUUCCUCCAGUAUAUAAGUCACCACCACUAUCUCCUCCAAUGUACAACUCUCCACCACCGCCUAUUUACAAAUUUCCACCUCCUCCAGUUUGCAAUUCCCCACCGCCUUCUCCAGUUUACAGUUCCCCACCUUCAUCCAACCAUUAUACAAGUCUCCACCUUCAUCCAACCAUUACUACUAUAAUACUCCUCCUUCUCCUUCACAUUACUAAGGAAUUGCAUCCAAGUUUUGAGGUAAUAACGCGUAACCAGUAUAAACUUUUGUAUGAUAAACCUUAUCCCUAUCAACACAAACUGCCAUGUGUAUCAUGCUAAGUACAUACGCUUAGAUCCAUGAAAAUGACUAGUAGAAGGUUAUCCUAAGAACCAAGGAACAUUAGUUUUCCCUCUGUUUCCAAAAACUUGUGUUUGUUUAACAUGCUUAUCAACUUGGAAACGCGCAUUGCUGUUAGCCAACUAAAAUUUUGCAGGCAAAUUGGGAAGAGAAUCAGUGUUUGAGCGGUUCAUGGAAGAUUAAGAAUAAAAGCCCAAUGCGAGGAUGUUCUCAAGUUUUUUAAUGUUUCCGUUCUAUUUUGUAAAUUGAUUUUUGUGAAUUAAUUAAUUCCCUAUUUGUGGGGUUCGUGUUGUUUUACCUACCAUGCCGUACAUGUUUGUAACGAUUUUUAUUGCAAAACGCCGGUUCCAUAAAAUAACUGUAUUCAUUUCGUGUCUUUUGAGUAAACUUCUAAUGGUUCUACUACUUAUUUUACGACAUUUUUUUUCUCUCAUUCUCUUACAUUUUUUGUUUAAUAUUAUUGAUAAUUUUUUUAACAAAAAAGGUUGAUAUACUUAGGUAGUUCAAUAGUUUGGUCUAAUCCUAACUUCAGGUUUGUCUUGUCUUUUAUCUCUACAUACCUUUUCAACUCAAAGGAUGCUACUAUAAUUUGUGAUCAUUGUAGUGGUGAUAUUCCAAGCUAUUACAUAUAAUUUAAGGCAGAGAUAUGAUCCUAGCAAGUAUCUCACUGAGACAUUAGGAAACAUCAUGAAAAGCAUAUUUCCUGAAUUAGUGCAACUAAUUCUUAGUGGCAUUUAUAGUUAAAAAAUUCAAAUUUUUGAGAUUCUAUUACUGAUUAAUUAAGGACGUUAUCACUAUUUUUUUAUUAUCACCAUUAUUUACCCCACAUACUAUAAGAUUUUCUAGGCCACAAAAAAAGACGUGGACCGAUGUUUAGUUAUGUACAAAAGUUCCAAGUUGCGGUUGACCGCCUUGCCAACAUUGGUGCGGACUCAGGAACAUGUCAGGAAUUAGCUUUGAUACGAUGUCGUUUAUGAAAAAUUGUAUGAUUAAGGGCAAGAAAUCAACGCAUAAGUAAGAUGGCAUCGUAAGGUUAAGAAUCAGACGAAUUACAGCUUAAAUAGGACGGCGUCGUUUAGCUAACAGAAUAAGAAAUUAGUUAGUCAGUUAUCCUUGCCUAUUUGUACUGAUGUAAUUGGUGGAGUUGGUUAUGACUUGGAAUAACAGAAUUUGUUUCUCUCUCUCUUUCCCCAAAUUUUCCCUCUCAAUCUUCUCUCUCUCUCGCCUGAUGAUUCUUUCCCAAACUCUGAUUUCCCUUCUCUCUCAUCAAUUCUCUAAGAUUUAGGUCAGGAUCCUGACAAAUUGGUAUCAGAGCUCCGAUCCUUGGACGGAGCUUUUGAACCAGUAGUUGCAGGUUACUACCAUUUUCAACAUUCCUUCAAACGAGGUGACUCCAUGGCCGAAAGCACCAGAUUCAAGACUCUAGAGGAGCAAAUCAAGAAACUGGAACUUAGGCUCCAAGAAGUCAUGGAAUGAUUGCAAGGUUCUCAGUUGCAGCAGCAGCAGAUGAGGAAUGAGCUUCGUACUGAACUUGCAGAGAACAACAAGAAGAUGGAAGGACUGAUAGCUGAGAUGAAGCAAGAAUUUAGUACUUUCAUGAAGGCAAUGAUGAAUAAGGAAAAGGUGGUUCCAGAUGAAGAUAGACCAAGAACAGAACAAAUAUCAUUGCUGCCAACACCACCACUAAGUCAGAGGCUGCAGAUUGGAUUAGAAAACAACAGGACAACAAGAAGAGAAGCAGGUAAAAUUCUGAUACUGAAUCCUCCAAAAAUUGAUCUGCUUUUAUUUGCGGGGGAUAAUCCAAGGGAAUGGAUACGGAAGUGUAAUAAAUACUGCUUGAAUUACCAAAUUUCGGAAGAUCAUAAAGUAGAAGUCAUAGAAAUGUACCUGGAAGUAAGGAUGUAAUCAAGCCGAGCUGCUCGCGAGCUCGGUCAAAAGCUUGACUCAAUCUCGGGUUGACAGAGUUCGAGUCGAGUUCGAGCUGCUCAAUAAGCUAAACGAGUCGAGUUCGAUCAUCCAAAAGCGAUGCUCGAAGGUUCGUCGAGACUUAUCGAGCCUUUUAAUUUUAAUUAUUUAAUAUAUUAUUAUUAUAAAAUUAUUCUUAUACCCAAAAGAGUUGUUGAAUUUACGAAAUGUUUCAAAUCGUAUAAAAUUUUAAAAGGGCAACAAUGUCUUUUCGCACAAAAAUUAUCAAGAAAAUAAAAUUUAGUAACUCGAACUCGACCGAGCUCGAUAAGGCUCGAUUGACUUGAGCCCAUGCGAGUCGAGCUCAAGUAUUGCAAGCAAGCUUCGAGUUUGAGCUCGAGCUCCAAUAAUACUACUCACUCGAGCUCGAGCACCUUUCUUGUAUGUCGAGUCGAGCUUGAGUAUGGCGAUACUCGAGUUUGACUCGACUCGAUUACAGCCCUACCUAGAAGGAAGGGCUGACAACUGGUUCCAGGGAGUCAAGUUAGAAAGACCAGGAAUAACAUGGACAAUGUUUGAAGAACUACUAUACAAAAGAUUUGAUAAUAGGAGUGGAAAGGAUGUGGUUGAGGAAUUUAACAAACUGCAACAGACAAGAAAGGUGGAAGAAUACCAAGAAAAGUUUGAAGAGCUUAAAACUCUCAUGAUGGUUAAGAAUCCAUACCUAGAUGAGAAGUAUUUUGUAUCUAGUUUCAUCAGUGGACUCAAGGAUGAAAUUAAAACAAUGAUAAGGAUGCUGAGGCCUGCGACAUUUUCAGAAGCAUUUGAAAUGGCCAUAUUACAGGAGAAUGCUUUGAGGUUUCAUACCAGAUCCUCCAAGGAAACUUGGAGAACUGCUCCUGAGAGCAGAUUUGGGAUUUCCAGGAAUUCCUCACAGCAGCAAGUCCACAGUGCAUAAUAUAGAAUGCAUUCCCCCAACAACUUCAGAAACACUCCAUUCAAAGGCAAACCAAUUGUUAGCACAGAACCAGAGCCUAGGAGGAUCUCAGCUCAGGAGCUAUCGUGAGAACCCGAAAAUUUUCUUAAUUUCUAGGCAUUAUUUUAUUUCUUUGCAUACAUUUUCUAUAUUUUCUUUAUUAUAUUAAUUUUCUAGAUAUUUUAUAAGUGAAUAUAGUUUUUAAAAUCAUUUUUCUAGUAUAAGUUAGUUCAUGCGAUAUUAAUAGUGAAUACUGGACAUGGGACUCGCUAAUGCAUUAAGUGCGAUAAAUUCGGCCAAUUAGAUUAAGUUUUGCAUAAAGGGAUUAAGUUAUUAGGUGUUAUGAGAUAAUUAGAGGUAACAUAGAUGGAUUAACCAUGGAGAGCCAAGAAAAUAGGUUUAAACAUAAAAGGUGCCACGUGUCGCGAAACUAGUGGAAAUUGGACUUUGAUCAAUGGUAUCUUACUUUCCUAAACCUCAAUUUUGACCCAAAAUCAUCUCCAUUUUCUUCCUUCUUGGCCGAGCUUCUUGAGAGGAGAGAAGAGAGAAACCUUCAACCUUUGUCUUCCAUUUCUUGCUUACAUCUUAAAAUCCAACCACUAAAAUCUCAAAUUUGUCCAUAAAAGUGACUUGCUAAAGAAGGUUAAAGGCAUUGGUAGAGUGAUUAGUGAAGGGAAAGCCCUAAGCUACCUUAUCUCUUGUGGUUUUAAGGUACUUUGUCAAAAAAUUCCCUCUUUGUUCUUAAUAAUGGUAAAUUAGUGGGUUUUAGUGGCUAAAUAUGCUAUUUUGUGAAAGAUUUCAUGGUUUGAGAUAGAGUUAGAUAAAUUUUAGAUUUUAUUGGUGAUUUUUCUGUCCUUAUAUGAUAAUUAUUGGUUGACCUUAGAAUGAUAGCUUGAUAUGGUGUAAAAUUAAGCUUUUAUAUGUUAGUUGUGGUUGUUUGCGAAAAAUUUCAGUUUGUAGAACAAAAUUUCAGUUUUAGGGUUUCCAAAUUAGGGCUUUACUAUGGUUGGUUGUUGAGCUCUUAAUUGGCUAAGAUUGAAGGGUAUUGUAACCCUAAUGAGGUGUAUUGAAUAGCCUAUGAUUUGUAUGUGUACUUGUGGUUGUUUUGGAUGAAUGUAAAGGGUUGUUGGUAGGAUGGAAAAUGUGAAAUUUAAGGGGGAAAUGCUGUCCAAAGUUUGAGGAUAUUGGGCUUCUUUGAGUUUAGAUUGAGAUUGGGUAGAAUGAAAGGUUUUGGGGUUGUUUAUGCUUUUAACACCAAAUGUUCUUUAUUUUUAUUUCUUAGUUAUAUUGGGUCUUGCACUAGUAGUUCAUUGAAGAGGUAUACAACCCGUGUUCGAGUCUCAAUUGUUGUUUCUUGCUUGUUUAUAGGACGCGCCGGUGAUCCAAAGCAUACAUCGGACGGAAAUUUGUGAACUUGCUUUGCUUGAACUGGUGAGUGUACCAUUGCAUGAUUUAAUGCUUAAAUGGUUGUUUGUACUCGAACCUUUGGACUGAAUAACUGUGAACAUUGUUUAUACUGCAUGAGACGAGAGUGUAUUUUAUCACUCUCGUUCUCUUAUCCGUGUGACUAUUUACUGUAUAACAGUGAAUCUGUACCUGUGCAUGGUUUGAUAUCGUUGGAGGCUUGUAUCCAACGACUUUACAGUGAUAUCUGAGCUCAAACCUCAUUGGUCGUUAAUCGAAUCGAGCCGGCAAGGGUGUGGUCGAUUAAAUAACGAACUAUGGGUUUACUGUUUGUCGAGUGGAGUGUUGUCUUCUCGCCCUUGUGGUAUACUCGAGUAUUACCCUACUGUUACUGUGAGGUGUUCGGGUCCGGUAAGGGUGUGUAUGGUAGACGGAAUUUGGGGUAAAGUGGAGUCUACGGACGUGAUUACUUGCAAAUGUUGACAGAGGGUCAACGGGUUCAAAUCAAGUGGUAAAAAGGAAAAAUUGGCACUUGAGUGCCAUCCGUAUCCUUUUAUUCCACGUUAAAAUAGGGUGCUCCUUGGUAUUUAAAUGAACUCUCUAGGAUUGUUUAAGGUGUACUUCUGUGAUUCCUAAUUACCUGACUUGUUGGUACCUCAUUGGGCGUAAACUCACUCUCGUUAUCUUUGUUUUCCUUACAGGAACAACUUUUAGAACCAUGAUUUUGAGAAGCGAGUUGAGCUACUUAGAUAUACUUUUAUUCUGUUGUAUAGCUCUUCGGUAGUUGGAAAUCCUAAAUGUAUUUCGAUCCAAUGUUCCCUUUUGAUUUGUAAUCAUACCAACGUGUGUCUAUAAAAGUAUUUCUUAUGUUUAUGUGGUAUAUAUUUCCUUGGUAUUGUACAUUCACUAGUGUUGGAUGAAGUACUUGUACUUGUUUGGGUUGCGAACGAGUGCGAAAGUUGCACAAGGAAAGAAAAAAAAAAUUCGGCGGGAACAGUUCUUGGCCGGAUCAAGCCGAAUUUGUAGGGGUUUUUGAUCCGGCCAGGAAUCCGGCCGGAUAUCUGGCCCGAUCUAGCUAGGAUUGUAACGUGACAGUUACUGUUCAUUUUCAGUUUUGUUUUCAUUUUUCGUUAUUCGUGGUCGUCGAAACGUUUGAGCGCUAUAAUAUCAUUCGGAACGGUUUAGCCCGUGUGUGUUUGACUUAGUAGUCCUGACGAGAGUUGGGCAGGCAGUCUGCUAACCCUUAAGGUACGCCCUGGGGAAAGGUGGGAUUGUCACAGUUGGUAUCAGAGUCUAGAUUAGAACUGACUGGAGGAAAUUAGGCAUUUGCUUUUAGUAUUUGUAGGGAUUGUAUUAAGGUGCCGUUAAGUGUGAUUACCUUGUUUAAGAUUUAAACCUUCGCUAUCCUUGUAGGUUAUGGCCGGAACAACUAGAAAGGGCGGAGGUGAGCCGUCCAAGAGGCGAUUUCGAGUUAUAGAUUACGUGGAGAGGCCGGGAGGACCGAUUCGGCAUUGAAGCACUGCGUGUCGGACUCGGCGUUGUCUUCGAUGCCAGAACUACUCCUAUAUCGAUCAUGUGGUCGUGGCCGUCCUUGAUGAGAGGAGAAGGCUUAGGCGAACCACCGCUCGGGACCAAACCGAGAUGGCGAGAUUGAGGGGCAUCACGUGGAUGCAAGCAAACCAAAUUCACGAAUUUUAAGGGGAUGUCGCUUUGGAACAAGAGAGAACCGAUGCUCUUAGAGAGCAAUUGCGCGUGGCUACUGACCGCCUUACAAGGGUGGUCAGGGAAAUUCGAGACCAGUCUGGGGGCAUCAUUAACGAGUGCGAGGCGCUAGUCCAGGAGGUGAUUGGCGCUAACGUACAGGUGGAGGUUCCAGGCGGCGAGAUACCUAGAGAAGGGAACACGCCUAGUUCUAGCCAUGGGGGCGAGUCCGUGGGCUCAGUUGGGAACUAGGUUAGAGUUCUUUCGAGCUAUGUUUUGAUCCCAUGUGAAAGACAGUUAGGGGAAGCUCUUAGUGAGCUACUUUUGUAUUUUGAGCCUAGUUUUGUAUAUUGUACUUUUGGAUGACCCCACUACUUUUAUGGGAUUACUUUUGUGUAUAUUUGACUGACUGCUACUGUAUGACUUGUUUGAUACCCUGUGUGUUAUAUGCAUCGAUGCUUUUAUCUGGUGUUUUAUCUAUUGCUUCAAUACUGUAUUUGUGCCUCGACCCUAGAUCGAUUAAACCAAUAGAAAGUACUCGUAGUAGACGAGGUUGUGGACGUGGAAUUAGGCAACUCUCGACCGAAGGAGGUAAUCGGGAACCCAUGCCUAAACCAAAUCCUUAGCCUAGAAUCGACCCUAAUGCUCAGGUAGUAGCUGCUAUUCAGUGAAUGACUGAUCUGUUGGCCCACGUAGUGAAACACCAAGGCCAACAUUCUAUGCAUCAACCUGAAAACCCUGCCAAUAAUAUAGAGGGUGAGGAUAGAAUUCUCGAAAGAUUUCAAAAGUUCUCCUCACCAAAAUUUCUUAGAGGACCAGAUCCCGAUGCGGCCAAAAGGUGGUUGAAAAAGAUGAUAGACAUAUUUGCGGCUUUACACUAUACGGAGGAGAGACAGGUCACUUUUGCUGUCUUUCAGUUGGAGGGGACCGCCCGUUCUUGGUGGAACGUGAUUCGAACAAUGUGGGAAAGAGAGCAAACACCAAGGACGUGGGUAAAUGUCAUGAGAGAGUUCAAUGCGAAGCACUUUUCACCUUUAGUUCAGGAAAAGAAGGAGGACGAGUUUAUUAGGUUUCACCAGUGAGUUCAAACGGUAGCCGAGUAUGAGAGCCAAUUUAUUAGACUAUCUAAGUUCGCCCCUGAACUUAUCAUAACUGAGCAAAGGAGGGUGCGACGAUUUAUUCAGGGGCUAAAUAUGGAAAUUCAAAAGGAUCUGGCGGUAGCCCAGAUUAAUACAUUUAAUGGGGCGGUGGAGAAAGCACUGCGAGUUGAAAAUGCGAGACUCCAAGUUAGAAACUUUCAGGUGAGGAAACGGGGAUUUCCUGAAAAUAAUUCAGGGCAAGGUGAGAAAGGUAACCCUCCCAAGUUUGAAAGGGGGACCGAAGGAGUGAGACUUCCGGGAGUGUCACAAGGAAUCUCGCCAAGGGGUGGUCCAGUUGGACGAGGCCAACAGAGAAGUGCCUCACAGGAAAGCUCAGCCUCUGUUUCUCGGCGGCCUUGUAGAUAUUGUGGGAAACCAAACCACACGGAGGACAACUGCUGGAGGAAGGAAAGAAAAUGCUUACGCUGUGGGAGUGCGGAGCAUCAAAUUACUAACUGUCCGAUUUUUCCUCGAGAAGCGAGAGUAACUCCGCAAUCAUCAAAGGCCAACUUCGGGCAAUCUAAGGUGGAUGAGACGAGACAAAAGAUGCCAACUCGGGUAUACUCCCUUGAGCAACGUCAAGUCCCUGACUCAUCUGAGAUCGUGGAAGGUACAAUCCCUGUCUUCCACCGUCUAGUAAGGAUUUUGAUAGAGCCCGGUGCUACUCAUUUCUUUGUUAACCCCGAUUUUAUGUGCCGUAUUGAUAUAAAACCUGUUAACUUGCCUUAUGACUUGAAAGUUAGUACUCCUACGGGGACCAACUUUUGAUCACUAGUAUGUUGUAUGUUAAUUAUGAAAUUUGGGUAGGAGAGAGAAAGUUAUUGGGGAAUCUUAUAAAUUUAGCUAUUAAGGGGUACGAUGUUAUAUUGAAUAUGGACUGGUUAGCUAAGUAUGACGCCUAACUUGACUGUAAGAGAAAAGUGGUAGAAUUUCGUAUACUUGGGGAGGCGACUUUAAGGUUAGAUGUAAGGGGUAGUCUAGCCUCAUCUGCAUUGAUUUCGGAUAUUCGGGUUAGCAAACUACUGAGUAGAGGAGCACAAGGGUUCCUAACUUUUCUUAUAAACACUCCCACCGAUAAGUUGAGGGUAAAAGAUGUACCGAUAGUGAAUGAAUAUCCGGAUGUGUUCUCUGACAAAUUAGUGACCUUACCUCCUGAGAGGGAGAUAGAGCUCAAGAUUGACUUGUUGCCAGGGACGUCACCUAUCUCUAAAAUCACAUAUCGAAUGACACCUGUUGAACUUAAGGAGUUGAAAUUGCAGUUGCAAGAUUUAUUAGAACGAAGAUUUAUCCGAGAGAACGGAUCUCCAGAGGGAGCCCUUAUAUUAUUUGUCAAGAAGAAAGACGGGAGCUUGAAACUGUGUAUAGAUUAUCGAGGGUUGAACAAUGUGACCAUUAAGAAUAAAUAUCCACUGCCCCAUAUUGAUGAAUUGUUUGACCAGUUGCAAGGAGCAGUGGUCUUUUCGAAAUUAGACCUCCGACAGAGGUACUAUCAAUUGUUAAUUAGGAAGGAGGAUGUACCAAAAACUGCAUUUAAUUCUAGAUAUGGGCAUUUUGAAUUCGCAGUCAUGCCCUUUGGACUGACCAAUGCCCCUGCUGCCUUCAUGGAUUUAAUGCAUAGGAUUUUUAAACCCUAUUUGGAACGAUUUUGUGGUUGUCUUUAUCGAUGACAUUUUAGCGUACUCAAAAAUUCGAGUGGAGCAUGAGCAGCACUUAAAAAUUGUCUUACAAACCCUAAGAGAGCAUCAGUUGUACGCCAAAUUUAGUAAGUGUGAAUUUUGUCUGGAGAAAAUUUCUUUCUUAGGGCAUGUAAUUUCCCAAGAUGGCAUCACUGUUGAUCCAACAAAAGUAGAGGCAGUGACUGAAUGGAAGAGGCCAAAAAAUUUCACUGAAAUUUGUAGCAUUUUAGGGUUAGCUGGAUACUAUCGUCGGUUUAUUAAAAAUUUUUCGCAACUUGCCGGUCCUUUAAUCGAUUUAACCAGGAAGAAUAGUCGUUUUAUGUGGGAUGCUAUGUGUGAAGUUAGUUUUCAAGAAUUGAAAAAAAGACUAACCAUGGCACCAAUUCUAACUUUGCCUAACAGAAAGGAUAGUUUUACCAUUUAUACUGAUGCCUCGAGGGAAGGAUUGGGGUGCGUGUUGAUGCAAAAUAAGAACGUGAUAUCUUUUGCCUCUAGGAAAUUGAAAUCUCAUGAGCAGAACUACCCAACCCAUGAUUUGGAGUUAGCCGCAGUUGUUUUUGCUCUGAAAAAGUUGAGACACUACCUGUAAGAAGUAACUUUUGAGAUUUAUUCUGACAAUAAGAGCCUUAAGUACCUCUUUUCACAAAAGGAGUUGAAUAUGAGAGAACGACGGUGGAUGAAAUUUUUAGUAGAUUACGACUGCACGAUUAACUACCAUCCGGGGAAGGCGAAUGUAGUAACCGAUACUUUAAGUCAGAAGGCUAAAAUAGCCGGGUUAAUGGUCAAAGAGUGGGAGAUGUUGGGAGCAGUUAGUGAGUGGAACCCUAGUUUGGAUCGUUAAAAAGUGACUUUUGGAAAUAUCCGGGUAACAUCUGCUAUACUAGGUCGAAUUAAAGAGGCCCAGGAGAAGGAUCCGAUGGUACAAAAGCGGAGGAAAAAUAUGGAGAAGGGGGAAUUGCCCGAUUUCAAUUUGAGUCCUGAAGAGAUUUUGAAAUAUCGAAAUCGAGUAGUGGUGUGCCUAAGGAUGAAACUUUAAAAAGGAAAUUUUGGAGGAAACUCAUCGAUCGAAAUAUACGAUCCAUCCGGAAAGUAACAAGAUGUAUCAAAAUCUAUGAAAGUUGUAUUGGUGGAAUGACAUGAAGAGGAAAAUUGCCCAAUAUGCACAAUCCUGUCUCGUCUGCCAGCAAGUUAAGGUUGAACAUCACAAACCCUUUGGUUUGUUACAAUCUCUUGAGAUACAUGAAUAGAAGUGGGAAAAUAUUACGAUGGACUUUGUCUCCGAGUUGCCAAGGACCCAAAAAGGACAUGAUGCCGUUUGGGUGAUCGUAGAUCAGUUAACCAAAUCGGCCCAUUUCUUACGUGUGAAUAUGAAGCAUUCCAUGGAAAAUUUGGCUCAGCUAUACAUGGAUAAAAUUGUGAGGCUACAUGGGGUUCCAGUGAGUAUAGUUUCAGACCAAGAUCCUGGUUUUGUGUCUAGAUUUUGGCAAAAAUUUCAAGAAAUCUUACGAACCAAACUCAACCUUAGUACCACCUAUCACCGCCAGACGGAUGGUUAGUCCGAGCGAACAAUUCAAACCCUCGAAAAUAUGUUAAGAACUUGCAUAUUAGAUUUUGGAGAUAGUGGAGUUUGCCUAUAAUAACAGUUAUCAGUUGUCGAUUCAAAUGGCACCAUACGAGGCCCUCUACGAGCGAAAGUGCCGAUCACCGAUUUAUUGGGAUGAAGUAGGGGAAAAUAAAGUUAUAAAUCCAACGACUAUUCCAUGGAUGGAGAAUGCACAAGAAAAGGCCAAGUUGAUACGUCAAAGACUCCAAACAGCUCAAAACCGACAAACGAACUACGCGGACAACCGAAUGAAAGAUUUGGAGUUCGAAAUUGGAGACCGUGUCUUUCUUAAGAUCACACCGUUACGAAGUGUCACGGCGGAUAAAGGAAAGAAAUUUCAACCAAGAUUCGUAGGACCCUUCAAAAUUUUUCAAUGAGUUGGAAAAGUAGCGUACCGACUCGAGCUAUUAUCAAGUUUGCCCAGUAUUCAUGACAUCUUCCAUGUAUCGAUGCUCAAAAAAUAUUAUCCUAAUCCAACUUACAUUUUACAACCGGAGAAGAUUGAGAUGUAUGAAUCACUCAAGUAUGAGGAGAAACCUGUGCAGUUACUCGACCGAAAGAUUAAGGAGUUGAGAAAUAAAUGAAUUUCAUUGGUGAAGAUUUUGUGGAGAAACCACGGAGUAGAGGAGGCAACCUGGGAGGUGGAAGAGGAGAUGCAAAAGAAAUACCCUGAGCUGUUUACGAAUCAAGGGAAGGAAUUUCGAGGACGAAAUUCUUUAAAGGGGAGAGAGUGUGAGAACCUGAAAAUUUUCUUAAUUUCUAGGCAUUAUUUUAUUUCUUUGCAUACAUUUUUUAUAUUUUAUUUAUUAUAUUAAUUUUCUAGAUAUUUUAUAAGUGAAUAUAGUUUUUAAAAUCAUUUUCUUAGUAUAAAUUAGUUCAUGCGAUAUUAGUAGUGAAUAUUGGACGUGGGACCCGCUAAUGCGUUAAGUGCGAUAAAUUCGAUCAAUUAGGUUAAAUUUUGCAUAAAGGGAUUAAGUUAUUAGGUGUUAUGAGAUAAUUAGCGCUUACCUAAAUGAAUUAAUCAUGGAGAGACAAGAACAUAGGUUUAAACAAAAAAGGUGCCACAUGUCGCGAAACUAGUAGAAGUUGGACUUUGACCAAAGGUAUUUUACUUUCCUAAACCUCAAUUUUGAUCCAAAAUCAUCUCCAUUUUCUUCCUUCUUGGCCGAGCUUCUUGAGAGGAGAGAAGAGAGAAACCUUCAACCUUUGUCUUCCAUUUCUUGCUUAUAUCUUGAAAUUCAACCACUAAAAUCUCAAAUUUGUCCAUAAAAGUGACUUGCUAAAGAAGGUUAAAGGCAUUGGUAGAGUGAUUAGUGAAGGGAAAGCCCUAAGCUACCUUAUCUCUUGUGGUUCUAAGGUACUUUGUCAAGAAAUUCCCUCUUUGUUCUUAAUAAUGGUAAAUUAGUGGGUUUUAAUGGCUAAAUAUGCUAUUUUGUGGAAGAUAUCAUGGUUUGAGAUAGAGUUAGAUAAAUUUUAGAUUUUAUUGGUGAUUUUUCUGUCCUUAUAUGAUAAUUAUUGGUUGGCCAUGGAAUGACAGCUUGAUAUGGUAUAAAAUGAAGUUUUUAUAUGUUAGUUGUGGUUGUUUGCUGAAAAUUUCAGUUUGUAGAGCAAAAUUUCAGUUUUAGGGUUUCCAAAUUAGGGCUUUACUAUGGUUGGUUGUUGAGCUCUUAAUUGGCUAAGAUUGAAGGGUAUUGUAACCCUAAUGAGGUGUAUUGAAUAGCCUAUGAUUUGUAUGUGUACUUGUGGUUGUUUUGGAUGAAUGUAAAUGGUUGUUGGUAGGAUGGAAAAUGUGAAAUUUAAGGGGGAAAUGCUGUCCAAAAUUUGAGGAUAUUGGGUUUCUUUGAGUUUAGAUUGAGAUUGGGUAGAAUGAAAGGUUUUGGGGUUGUUUAUGCUUUUAACACCAAAUGUUCUUUAUUUUUAUUUCUUAGUUAUAUUGGGUCUUGCACUAGUAGUUCAUUAAAGAGGUAUAUAACCCGUGUUCGAGUCUCAAUUGUUGUUUCUUGCUUGUUUAUAGGACGCGCCGAUGAUCCAAAGCAUACAUCGGACGGAAAUUUGUGAAUUUGCUUUGCUUGAACUGGUGAGUGUACCAUUGCAUGAUUUAAUGCUUAAAUGGUUGUUUGUAUUCGAAUGUUUGGACUGAAUAACUGUGAACACUGUUUAUACUGCAUGAGACGAGAGUGUACUUUAUCACUCUCGUUCUCUUUCCGUUUGACUGUUUACUGUAUAACUGUGAAUCUGUACCUGUGCAUGGUUUAAUAUCAUUGGAGGCUUGUAUCCAACGACUUUACUGUGAUAUCUGAGCUCAAAUCUCAUUGGUCGCUAAUCGAGUUGAACCGGCAAGGGUUUGGUCGAUUAGAUAACGAACCAUGGGUUUACUGUUUGUCGAGUGGAGUGUUGUCUCCUCGAUCUUGUGGUAUACUCGAGUAUUACCCUACUAUUACUGUGAGGUGUUCAGGCCCGGUAAUGGUGUGUAUGGUGGAUGAAAUUUGGGGUAAAGUGGAGUCUACGGACGUAGUUACUUGCAAACGUUGAUAGAGGGUCAACGGGUUCGAAUCAAGUGGUAAAAAGGGAAAUUUGGCACUUGAGUACCAUCCGUAUCCUCUUAUUUCACGUUAAAAUGUGGUGCUCCUUGGUAUUUAAAUGAAGUCUAUGGGAUUGUUUAAGGUGUACUUCUGUGAUUCCUAAUUGCCUGACUUGUUGGUACCUCAUUGGGCGUAAACUCACCCUCGUUAUCUUUGUUUUCCUUACAGGAACAACUUUUGGAACCAUGAUUUUGAGAAGCUAGUUGAGCUAUUUAGAUAUUCUUUUGUUCUGUUGUAUAGCUUCUCGGUAGUUGAAAAUUCUAAAUGUAUUUCGAUCCAAUGUUCCCUUUUGAUUUGUAAUCAUACCAACGUGUGUAUAUAAAAGUAUUUCUCAUGUUUAGGUGAUAUAGAUUUCCUUGGUAUUGUACAUUCACUAGUGUUGGAUCAAGUACUUGUACUUGUUUGGGUUGCGGACGAGUGCGAAAGUUGCACGAGGAAAGAAAAAAAAAUUUCAACGGGAACUGUUCUCGAAUCCUGCCAGAUCUUGGCCGGAUAUUUGGCCGAAUUUGUGGGGGUUUUUGAAAAAAUUUUGGAUCGAACUGCUGCCUCCAUUCCGGCAAGAAUCCGGCCAGAUAUCCGGCUGGAUCUAGGCUGGAUUGUGACGUGGUAGUCACUGUUCAUUUUCAAUUUUGUUUUCGUUCUUCGUUAUUCACGGUCGUUGAAACGUUUAAGCGCUAUAAUAUCAUUCGGAACGGUUUAACCCGUGUGUGUUUAACUUAGUAGUCCUAACAAGAGUUGGGCAAGCAGUCCGCUAACCCUUCGGGUACGCCCUGGGGAAAGGUGGGACUGUCACAGCUACAGUACAGGAGGAACAAUGGAUUAUGCUUCAAAUGUGGAGAAAAAUUUGGACAAGGACAUCAAUGCAAAACUGGCCAUCUAAAUCUCCUGAUUACUGAGGAGGAAGAAGAUUCUGAGUUUGAAGAUGCACUAUGAGAGCAGGUUGAGUCCACUGGUAAUCUAGGACAAGUCCACUGGUAAUCUAGGACAAGUCAUGGAGAUGUCCUUACAUGUACUAUCUGAUGCGCUGCAGAGAAAGACUAUAACAUUGAUAGGGAGACUGGAUGGAGAAGAAAUGUUGAUAGUGGUUGACACUGGAAAUUCAGAUAGUUACAUCAGUAGUGAGAAGGUUAUUGCCUUUGACAUUCCAUACAGACUAGUUGAUCCCUUCUUUGUAAUUGUCGAGAAUGGAGCUUGUGUGACCAGUAAAGCUAUUUGUCCAAAGGUGGUGUGGGAGAUUAACCAACAUAAAUUUUGUUAUGAUCUUAAGGUAAUGGACCUAAGUGGUGGGGACAUUAUAUUGAUGGUGGAUUGGAUGACCCAUUUCAGCACCAUUACAUUUGAUUUCCACCAACUGACUAUUUCCCUGCACAACCAAGGAGAGAUGGUACAGUUGAGGGGGCAAGCAGAGAACUGUGAUUUAGAUCUCAUCAAGGGCAAUGACCUGAGAAAUUUUAUUGAACACAAGAAGCAGAUGUGCCUAGUAAUGAGACUGGGACAAGGACACUCAUUAGAGGGGAAUGUUGUGCCUCCUGAAGUACAGGGAAUUAUAGAGGGGUUUGCUGAUGUAUUUGAAACCCCCUACUAGGGAAAUAGAUCAUGAAAUCCCUCUGAAACCUGGAUCCCAAGCCUUUAAACUAAAACCCUAUAGGUAUCAUCAUUCCCAGAAGAAUGAGAUAGAAAAGCAAGUCACAGACAUGUUGCAGCUUGGAAUUAUCAUCAACAACAAUAGUAUUUUUGCUUCACCAGUGUUGCUAGUUAAAAAGAAGGAGGGAACUUGGAGAUUCUGUGUGGAUUACAGGAAACUAAAUGAGAUGACCAUCAAGGACAUAUAUUCUAUCCCUAAUGUAGAUGAAUUGAUCAAUGAACUAGCAAGGUCAAGGUAUAAAACCAAGUUGGAUCUCACUUCUGACUACCAUCAGAUCUGUAAGCCCCGAUGCAACCAAAUACAACCAAAAUACUCAACCAGACAAGUAGUCAAGUAAAUACAAUGACAAAGAAUAUAAGCAAUUUUAAAGCACAAAAAUAGUGUAACAAUAAAGUAAAAGAAAUUCAAACCAAUCAAACUCCCAAACUUCUUCCAACCUUGGAGUUGAAUCCACCAAAUAAUUUCUUCAAUUGAUGGUAGUGCUAACCAACUUGUACAAGUGAACGCUCACUCCUUCCUUACCCCAAACAUACUUUGGUUGAGCAAAGGAAUUUUACUACUCUCCAAGUAAACCCUCAACUAAUUACAAUUGAAAGUUUACUCAUUCAAUUAAGAACUACUUUAUACAGGUGAGGCAACCUUUAUCAAGGUUUUACCACUCCAAGUGAUAGGUUCACCUUCACCAAGGUUUUACUCCUCCUAGAGAGUAACCUUCACUUGAGCAACCUCACAACCCAACUUUUCCAACCCCUUAUACAACCAACAAAGAAUAUUUCUACUCAAAGAUCUCACUUGUAAGCUUGUAUUUAGUGUUGGCAAAAGUCUGUGUCUUCUUGUGUUUUGGGGUAUUUAUAGAAGGUGAGAAAUGGCUCCAAAAGGCUCUCCAACAGUCAAAUAUUAAAUGCUGUCGAAACUAGCCGUUGGCCUGUCGGACGUCCGAACCAUUUGCUCUGCGUCCGAACCAUGCGUCCGAACCACUUAUCAGACGUCCGAACCAUUUAUUCUGCGUCCGAACCCUGCGUCCGAUAGAAGUCAGAAUGUUCAAUUUUCAUUCUUUUUGUGUCGGACGGUCGAAGCAAUGAAUGAGCGUCCGAUCCAAGCGUCCGAAGAGUAUCGUCGUCUGUCGGACGUCCGAUCCUCUAUCGAGCGUCCGAUCCUCUACGUCCGAACCUUCAUAUUUCUUAACUUCUCUUUGUUUCAAAUCUUUUCGAUUCUCUUUUGGAUCAAUGACCUGUUCUAACAAAUUUCUCACAUAAAACAUUAGUCCAAAUCUACAUUUUGGUUUGUUAAUCAUCAAAACCAAGGACUGAUCAACCAAGGUCAACAAUCUCCCCCUUUUUGAUGAUGACAAACAAAAUGAAGAUUUCUUUGAUCAAAUAAGUUCAAAUAAAACUCCCCCUUAGAAAAUGCCAACAUACAAAGAAAUUUCAAUAAAUCCUACUCCCCCUUUUGGCAUCAAUCAAAAAGCAAACUCCCCCAUUAUUUUUCAAAUCAAGACCAUAUUGAAUGUCAAAACUUUCAAAUGUACUUUCAACCAUUUAGCACUUUUUGGAUCAAAUCUUCAUGAUGUACCUAAGUAUGAGAAAUUUCAUUUUGUAUUUUUUCUUUAUAGGGUUCUUGGGAGUUAGUACAAUAUGAUCUAGCAAUCCACAUGGAUUUCAUACCUUUUCUCAUAUUUUUCUUUACAUAGCAAUCAUUUUGCAUAUGUCCAAAUUGGCAACAAAAGUGACACAUGAUAGAAGUAUUUUGCACAUAAGUGGAUUUAAUGCAACUAAUUUUCUUACUUCUUAUCAUAGCAAACUUAUUUGUGCCUUGAAAAGAUUUGCUUUCUUUUGUUUGAGAAAACUUUUGUUUUUCAUUUUGGAGAAACUCGUUCAAGUCAUUAAUUCUUUUCUUUAACAAAUUUUGUUCCUCCAACAUUUUUUCAUAAAACUUUGUUUUCUCUUCCAACUUCCUUUUCAAAUUAUUUUUGCAAUCAAAAACACCUUUUUGAUUUUUUAAAUCAUCAUUUUCCAUUCUCAAACAUUUAUUUUCUUGAAAAAGUUUGGAGUUUUCUUCCAACAAAUCAUUUAUUUUUGUUUUCAAAUCUUUAUUUUUAGCAUAAGAUUUUCUCAAACUUUUAUGCAUUUUAAUCAUAAGAAUUUUCACAUCAUCAUCUUCAUUAUCUUCAUCACAAGAAGAGUGAUAAGAAUUUACCUCAUCUUCUCCAACGGCCAUUAGUGCCAUUUGGGCCAACUCUUCUUUUUCUCUUUUUGAAUUGCAUUCAUCCCAUGUAAUUUUGCAAUCUCCUCUUGAACUUCUCUUGUUGAAGAUCUUCUUGAAACUUUUGAUGUGAGGAGUUAUAUCAUUGUCCACUUCCAUGUUUUCAUUACCCAUGAAGGAUGGGUUAUCCCCCACUUGAGAUGCUUUAAAAGUUAUGCCUCUCUUAUACAUUCUUGCAUUUUCUUCCUCUUGCACUUUGAAUUUCAGCUUUAAUUCAUAAGAGGUUAGGGUAUCCACAAGAGAUUCAAUGGACAUAGAAUUUAAAUCCUUUGCCUCUUCUAUAGCAUUUAUUUUGUUUUCCCAUUCUUUUGGCAAGGCAUUCAAAAUCUUUCUAUUUUUCUCACCCAAAGAAUAUUCUUUUCCAAGCAAUUUAAGAUCUUGAAUAAUGUCACAAAAUCUACUACACAUCUUAUCAACAUUUUCAAGAGGAUGCAUUUUGAAAAAUUCAUAUUGAGAAACAAGCAAAGAUUUCUUUUGUUCUUUAAUAUCUUGCUUACCUUCAUGAAAUUCACACAAUUUAUCCCAAAUAUCUUUAGCUGAUUUACAACAUUUAAUUCUACUAGAUUCAUUUACAUCUAAUGCAUUGCACAAUAUAUACAUGGUCUUGGCAUUCAAAGAAAGGUAUCUCUUGUCUUUUUCAUUCAAUUCUUGUCUAGUCUUUAAUCUACUCAAAUUAGUGGUAGAGUCAACUAUUCUAGCUUCAUAAGGACCAUCUUCUACCACAUACCAUAAUUCAAUAUAAACGGAUUGUAAGAAAAUCAUCAUUCUUUGUUUCCACAUGCUAAAAUGAGAACCAUUAAACAUAGGUGGUCUAUCAAUAGAUUGCCCUUCUAAAAAAGAAACAUUUAUGGUUGCCAUGAUCUUUACUCUAAGCGGUUAAGCUUAAUCUCUAGGAGACCAAGCUCUGAUGCCAAUUGUUAGCCCCGAUGCAACCAAAUACAAUCAAAAUACUCAACCAGACAAGUAGUCAAGUAAAUACGAUGACAAAGAAUAUAAGCAAUUUAAAGCACAAAAAUAGAGUAACAAUAAAGUAAGAGAAAUUCAAACCAAUCAAACUCCCAAGGUUCUUCCAAACUUGGAGUUGAAUCCACCAAAUAGUUUCUUCAAUUGAUGGUAGUGCUAACCAACUUGUACAAGUGAAGGCUCACUCCUUCCUCACCCCAAACAAACUUUGGUUGAGCAAAGGAAUUUUACUACUCUCCAAGUAAACCCUCAACUAGCUACAAUUGAAAGCUUACCCACUCAAUUAAGAACUACUUUAUACAAGUGAGGCAACCUUUAUCAAGCUUUUACCACUCCAAGUGAUAGGUUAACCUUCACCAAGGUUUUACUCCUCCUAGAGAGUAACCUUCACUUGAGCAACCUCACAACCCAACUUUCCCAACCCCUUAUACAACCAACAAAGAAUAUUUCUACUCAAAGAUCUCACUUGUAAGCUUGUAUUUAGUGUUGGCAAAAGUCUGUGUCUUCUUGUGUUUUGGGGUAUUUAUAGAAGGUGAGAAAUGGCUCCAAAAGGCUCUCCAACAGUCAAAUAUUAAAUGCUGUCGAAACUAGCCGUUGGCCUGUCGGACGUCCGAACCAUUUGCUCUGCGUCCGAACCAUGCGUCCGAACCACUUAUCGGACGUCCGAACCAUUUAUUCUGCGUCCGAUAGAAGUCAGAAUGUUCAAUUUUCAUUCUUUUUGUGUCGGACGGUCGAAGCAAUGAAUGAGCGUCUGAUCCAAGCGUCCGAAGAGUAUCGUCGUCUGUCGGACGUCCGAUCCUCUAUCGAGCGUCCGAUCCUCUACGUCCGAACCUUCAUAUUUCUUAACUUCUCUUUGAUUCAAAUCUUUUCGAUUCUCUUUUGGAUCAAUGACCUGUUCUAACAAAUUUCUCACAUAAAAACAUUAGUCCAAAUCUAUAUUUUGGUUUGUUAAUCAUCAAAAUCAAGGACUGAUCAACCAAGGUCAACAAGAUCAGAGUCAAACCUAAAGACACUUAUAAAACUGUUUUUCAGACUCAUUGUGGGCAUUAUGAAUUUUUAGUUAUGCCUUUCAGACUAACCAACGCACCAGCAACAUUUCAGUCUCUCAUGAAUAAGAUAUUCCAUCCAUACUUUAGGAAGUUUGUAUUAGUUUUCUUUGAUGAUAUUCUGAUCUAUAGCCCCACUUUGGAACUGUACUUGGAACAUCUGAAAAUAGUACUGACUGUCCUAAGGAAACACAGAUUGUUUGCAAAGAAAUCUAAAUGCUCAUUCGCUCAGCAGACUAUAGAUUACCUUGGUCAUACCAUUACUGAGGAUGGAGUAUUCAUGGAUCAGUCAAAAGUUGAGAGUAUGGUGAAUUGGCCUACACCCAGGACUAUAAAAGAGCUAAGGGGCUUCCUUGGACUAACUGGUUACUACAGGAGGUUUAUCAAACAUUAUGGGAUCAUCUGUAAGCCACUCACUGAGCUACUUAGGAAGGACAGUUUUGCUUGGAAUCUAGGAGCACAAGAGGCCUUCAUCUCAUUAAAGAACAUUAUGUGCAGGGCUCCUAUUCUCAGGUUGCCUAACUUUCAAAAGACUUUCACCAUUGAGACUGAUGCAAGUGGAGGAGGGAUUGGUGCAGUAUUAAUGCAAGAAGGUCACCCCAUUGCUUUCUUAAGUAAAGCAUUAUCAACCAAGAAUCUGGGUUUAUCAGCCUAUGAGAAGGAACUGUUAGCAUUGGUAAUGGCUGUAACUAAGUGGAAGCACUAUCUGGUGGGGUAUCACUUUAUUAUUAAGACUGAUCACCAGUCUCUGAAGUACUUGCUUGACCAGAAACUCACUACUGCUUUACAAUAUAAAUGGUUGGCUAAGUUGUUGGGAUUGGGUUAUGAGAUUCAGUACAAAAAGGGAGCAGACAACAAGGUAGCUGAUGCAUUGUCUAGUUUGCAUCGUAGUAACUUGGAUCAGACAACUCCACAAGGAUCCUGUUUAGCUAUAUCAAUUUGCUAAACCAUUGUGGACACAAGAACUUCAAGGAAGUUACGGUUCAGACCCUCAUUGUCAGACCAUCAUAUCCCAACUAAUACUGGAUCCUGCUGCUCAUCCAUAGUAUGAAUGGGACAAUGGAUUGCUUAAGCAUAAUGGCAAAUUUUAUGUGGGAUCAUCUAAAGGGGUGAGAGAGAAAAUAAUACAAGCUCUUCAUGCAUCUGCAAUUGCAAACCACUCUGGACAAAGGGGCUGCUGGCAGAGGAUGAAAACUCUCUUAUAUUGGCCUACUAUGAAGCAGGACAUUAUUAGAGCUAUUCAGGCCUAUGACACUUGCCAAAGAUUUAAGUCUGAGCAUGUACAAUACCCUGGUUUACUGCAGCCACUACCUGUCCCUCAUUUAGCAUGGACUCAUCUCACCAUGGAUUUCAUAGAAAAGCCUGCCUGAAUCACAGGGAUAGAACACAGUGUUGGUAAUGAUUGAUAGGAUGACCAAAGUGGGACAUUUCAUUGCAUUAACUCAUCCUUUCACUGCUAAGCAGGUAGCACAACUUUUCCUGGACCACAUCUUUCGAUUGCAUGGACUUCCAAAAUCCAUAGUGACUGAUAGGGAUAGGAUAUUCACCAGUCUCUUCUGGCAGGAGCUCUUCAAACUGGCAGGGACUGCAUUGCACUACAGCUCUGCUUACCAUCCACAAUCAGAUGGACAGAGUGAGCGACUGAAUCAGUGUGUUGAAACCUACCUCAGGUGCAUGACUGGAGAGUUUCCCUACAAUUGGAGCAAAUGGCUGGUUUUGGCUGAAUGGUGAUAUAACUCCUCUUACCAUUCUAGCCUACAAAUGACACCAUUUGAGGCAUUAUAUGGAUAUCAGCCCUCUUCUAUACCCCUUGGGCCUCAUUUCGACUCUAUCAUACCAGCAGCAUCUCAGUUACUUCAAGAGAAAUUGAGGAUUUCUAGCAGUAAACGAGAUCACUUACUUAAAGCUCAACAGAGGAUGAAGUUUUUUGCAGAUAAAAAAAGCAUAGAAAGGACAUUUGCAGUGGGGGGUUGGGUCUUCUUGAAGUUGCAACCUUACAGGCAACAGUCAGUUGCCAUCAGAAAAUGCCUCAAACUCUCUGCCCAGUUCUAUGGUCCUUUUCAAGUGGAAGCCAAGGUGGGAUCAGUAGCUUAUCGGCUCAAAUUACCUCCAGGGGCAUGAAUUCAUCCUGUUUUCCAUGUUUCUUUACUCAAGAAGAAGAUAGGGCCAUUGCAACCAAUUUCCACCACACUACCUGAGUUCGACUGAUGAUCAGUGUCCCUUGCAACCAGAGCUCAUUUUGAGAAGAAGGGCCAUCAUGCAAAAUGGACAGUCUGUGAUCCAAUACCUGAUCAAAUGGAAGCAGCUGAGUGAAGAAGAGGCGUCUUGGGAGGAUAAAGAUUUCAUCCAUGCUCAGUUCCAGUCUUGAGGACAAGACUCAAAAUUAGGGGAGGCAAUGUCAGGAAUUAGCUUUGAUACGAUGUCGUUUAUGCAAAAAUUGUAUGAUUAAGGGCAAGAAAUCAACGCAUAAGUAAGACGGCAUCGUAAGGUUAGGAAUCAGAUGAAUUACAGCUUGAAUAGGAUGGCGUCGUUUAGCUAAUAAAAUAAGAAAUUAGUUAGUUGGUUAUCCUUGCCUAUUUGUACUAAUGUAAUUGGUAGAGUUGGUUAUGACUUGGAAUAACAAAAUUUGUUUCUCUCUCUCUUUCCCCAAAUUUUCCCACUCAAUCUUCUCUCUCUCUCGCCUGAUGAUUCUUCCCCAAUUUCUUCUUCCCCAAACUCCGAUUUCCCUUCUCCCUCAUCAAUUCUCUAAGAUUUAGGUCAGGAGCCUAACAAAACAACUCUAACGUAUGGCUCUUUGCGUGAUUUGCCUGGUCUGGUGAGAGGUAACGUCGCUCUUGAUCAGAUGGGUGUUCCAAGUUUGCGUAGAGUUAAGGCAUAGGUUAAGAUAGCGCUAGUGUUGGCUUUGCUUUCCAUGUAUGCCCUUCUUAAUUUUUAUCAAAUAAAAUAACUCGGAUUUCAAAAAAAAAAAAGUUAUGUACAAAAGUUCAAAAUUUGUAGACAACUUAUCAUGUGCCCUUAGAGUGUAGAAUACAGGAAAAAAAAUCUUAAACUACAACUGAUCCUAAUAUUUUUCUCUAUGAUAAACUAGCUUUUAUCCAUUUCUUUAGAUGAUGAAAGGAAUUAGUUAGUCACAUAUCCUCUAGUGAUUACAACAGCAUCAAAACAAAUUAGCACCCUUUUCCCGUAGUUUAAAAAUCCCUCAGCCACUAAGAUUUUGCAUAUCGAACGAAUUAAGGAACAUAGGCGCUUCGUGCUGCACAACAGUGUCCUUGUUGACGAUGCAAGGACAGAAAUGCAUCCGCAUAUACUUCCUUAAGCAUUUUGAUUAUUUUAUGAUUCGAAUUUUUCUUGUCUGACAGAUGGACUUAAUUGAAAAACACAAGUAAUAAUAUUUCAAAGCUGAUUCGUCAAAGUUUACCCAAUUGGUGAAACUUUCUUAAUAGAGUUGACUUUGUAUUACGUGACAAUGAUAUGGAAUUGAUGUUCUUCCCUUUUUCCUUUUUUGUGUUGAAGACGCACAAAGUUUUCAAUGGGAAAUUUAUAGCUUUUCACGACAAAAUGUGUUCUGAUAAAAGUUCAUUCCAGAGGUUAAAAUUUUGUGAGUUAAAAAUUUACUUCUCAAGUCUUUGAUGGGAAAGUCUUGGUAUUUCCAAAAAGUUUAAGCAGGAUGCUUUUGGCUUUCUCUCCAUGUGUUUGUGAGUUAGAUCUAAAAUUAUCAGGGCUCCAGAGAUCUCUUGAAAUCGCAACAUAUAAACCACUUUCUGUUCUCAUUUUUCAUUGAAGUCUUUCCAAAAGGAGUUUUUUUUUAUGAAUUAUGAUAGAUAAUUAAUCUGACGGUGCAUAUAUAUAUGUGAUUUGCAAGAGGGUGUUUGACGAAAUGGUUAGGCUUUCUAAGUAAUGAUAGGAACGCCAUUUGCAAAGAAGGGCAGGGGGCCUGUGCUGUCAUAUUUUAUGCGAUUUGAUUCGUUGUUGUAUAAGUUUAAACUUUUGAUGUGCAAUUGUGCUAUAAUAUUAUACUAAAUAUAUGUGUGAAAUAUUUUGUCUAUAUACAUCACUUUUAUCGCGAAUACAACAGCUGAGUAUGAUAAUAUAGUAUAAUGUAAUUGUACACCAAAUAAUAUAGCAAAUAUAACAAUCGAUCCGAAUUACAUGAAAUCAUAACAACAAAAUCACCGCCUCCCAAAUUUUACAAAAUUAGGUUUUUUUUCUCUUAGAUUAUUGAAAAUUUUCAAAAAUAUUCUACAUAAUUUAAACUUUUGUGCUACAAAAAUUUGAAGAGAUUUUACAUUACACACUUAAGCUUAGAUAUAUUAAGGGAUAAUUUCAGAAACCUCCCUUGAGAUUUCUAAUAAUUUCACUUGGCUCCCCUAAGGUUUCAAAAAUUACGCCUACCUCCCUUACCCAUUUAAAAUGAUAACACUAACCUUAAUAUUUUAAUAAAAGUCUCUUAUUGCCAUGUUUAUGCAAAAGAUGGAUUUUAUAAUUGUUUUUCCUUUUUCCUUCUUAUUCAUUUCUCUUAUAUUUCAUUAGAAAUAUAGAAGAAUUAUCAAUGUUGUCUUUAGUAUCUAUCCAAAUCAAACAUUAAACUAGUAAUAUUUUUUUGAUAACUUUUAACAUCAUCCAUUUUUUUUUGCAACCCAUUUUCAUAUUAAAAUCAAGAAUAAAUCAACAAUAAUUAUAAACAAAAUGGCCCAAAAUCACUACCAAACUAUGUUAGUUCUAUCACUAAACCAGUCCAUAAACUUUUAUUAAAAAAGUAGUCCACAAACUUAAAAAAAAAAAGAUAACACUUUCUUCUUUAUCGUAAAAAGAAUCUAUAUCCCCCAAUAAAGUUCUAUAAAAAAAAUAGCCUAUUAUGACAAAAGAUUUAUUGUUGUAGUUGAUUAUUAAAUAACAAAUAUUCGUAUGAAGAACUUGACCCUCUCUUUUUUAUAAUUGUGCUAAAUUACUUUAUAAUUGUUUAGAAGAACAAAUUAAACUUUAUAAAAUAAGGGCAUUUUAGGAUAUUCAUUAAAUUUUUCACUCUAUUUUAAGUUUUGGUUACCAAAAUAUCUAAUUAAGAGAGGUAAGUGUAAUUUUUAAAACAUCAAGGGAACUAAGUGAAAUAGCUAAAAAUCUAAGGGGAGGUUUAUGAAAUUAUCCCAUAUAUUAAAGUUUGCCCCCAAGAUUAAUUUUCCCUUUUUAUCUAUAGUUUCUCAUCUAUGAGCCGAUCCAUAUAGCUAGUUAGACUGUAGUCCUCACAUUUGUGGGAUUUGACACCCAAGAUUCUCCUUCUUGGAAUGUAAAAUGUAGAUCUUCUAUGUUAAUAAAUUCAAGACCCUACUGUCAUAAACGAAAUGACUGAUCAACUCCUGUACACCUAAUUUGACAACAUUUAAAUGGAGAACUUUAGCUAAAAGAAUUAUGGUCAAGCUAAAGAAAAAGCCAGUUAUUUUCCAACAUAUGCAAUCAUUGAUCAGGAAAAAAAAAAAAAAAGCAAAAAGACAUCUUCAAUCAUUUAAUAGCUUACAGGGCAAAUUAACCCCUAAGCGAAAACUGGUUGCUCUAGAAUCAAAAUUUUACUUUAGUUACCCAGGCAACUUUUUUGUUGCUUUUUUUUUUUUUCUUUUCCUUUUUGGGUAUAUAUAUAGCUCCAGUUUUGCCCCCUCUGUCAAGCUUAUAUAAUUAUUAAGAUAAUAAAAGUGCCUUUAAUAGUAUUAAUAUAUCCAUUGACUUGAGCUGUCAUCAGUUUGGCUACUUCGAUUCCAUGAGGCCUUUUCAAUUCACACUAGCUGGAGAAAAUGGUAAUAAAAGUACUCAGAAAAUGGGGAGUCAUGAAAACCUUUAGUUCUAUUCAUUGCUAAGAUGCUUUUCUCCAUAAAGAGACUUCCUAACGAAAAUACUUCGUAGAUUUCUUUACUCCAAGUGGUGCAUGGAAAAUUAAUAUUUUCAAUUAUCAAAUAAAAUUUCCUUUUUUUUUGUGUAGAUUUCAUCCAUCCAGCUGUUAACACAUUCUAUAAAUCCGAAUUGACUAAUCUUUUCAUUUCCAUUUUCCAACUUGCGAAUACGGCAUCUUAUAUAUUGUCUGCUAAACACUAUAUAUUCUCUACCAAAUAUGAAUACAUAUCACUUUUCUGAGCAAGUGCAGAGUCUUAUCAUUUGUAUUCCCACCCAACAAAUUUGUGGUUGAGCAUCUUUACAUGCUAUCAGGUCACAAGUUAAUAAUCUUUUAAAGAACAUGUUAAAUUAAUUUAUUGGUAUGAAUACCCCGCCCCAUUGCCUAUUAAUUACCCCCUCCCCCGCCCCAUCCUCCGCCUCGACUUGCCCCGCCCCGCUUCCCCCGCGGGGUUAAAAAAAAUUUUAUUAUAUAAUUUAUUAUAAUUAAAUUUGAACAAAUAAUCAAGUACUAAAAAUAUCAACAUAUCAUCAAAUUAUUAUUCAUUGUAACUUUACAAUUGAAACUCAUAAAAAUAAUUAAACAAAAGUUAUUUGAAUACAAUCUAAUAUGAUAAAAAAGUAUAACUAAAAUAAUCAAGUUUUUACUUUUGAUACAAAUACAAUCACUAAAUUGUUAUUGUAUUUUUUUGAAAAAAAAAUGUUAUUGUAUUAAGUGUAGUUAGGAAUUUAAUAUAAAUGUAUUAAUAAAUUUAGUAUAAAUAAUUAAUAAUUUUUAUUAAUAAACAUGUAUAAUUAGUAGUAUAAUUGAUAAUAUCAUUAUAUGUAUAAUUAUUAUAUAUAUUUUUUAUUUUAAACGGGUGGCGGGGCGGGGGUAUAUACCCCCGAAACGGGGGGAAAAAUUCCCUCCCACCCCAAUAGUCCCCGCGUGGCGGGUACCCGCCGGUCACCCGCUCCAUUGCCAUCCUUAGGUAUGAAUAAUCAAAAAAGUAUGUUAAAGUUAGUAAUCUUUAAAAUAAUAUGUUAAAAUCAUUAGUACAAAUUAGUCAGAGAAGUAGCAGAAACACCACGAUGCAAUUAAUACUUUCAAGCUCAAGGUCUCUAUUAUGGAAAUUUGCAUCGGUCAAUAUACACAAAGCAUAGUUGUAUGCACGUCUCUCUAUCAUGGAAUUUGCAUAGGUCAAUAUACAACACUUGGCAUAGUUGUAUGCACAUCUUUUUUUUUAUUUUGGUACUGUACUUCCUUGCUUUAUAGUAUGCACAUUAAUUUCUUUGGAUUGCUGAAGAUUAUAACAAUUAUGAAGUAAUAUAUAUUAGAAAAUUAACACAAUUAUGAAUUUUUUUUUGUAAAUUCAAAUUUUAUUAAUAAGAAAUGAAAUAGGCAGUAAGCAAAAACAAAAUCCUACAACAACUCUAGGACUCUACACCUUAUAAAAAAAAUACUACAAAUAAACUGCAAAAUAAAUCACAAUAACGCAAAUUAUGUUAAGCUAAUAAAUACUACUAUGCAACAAAAUUUUUGUCUUUGUCCCGCGUGAAACUACGAAGUCAAGAAUUGACUCCUUUAACCUGUAUUGUCAGCAAGAUACAACUUUGCAAUUUGAUUCAAUAGAAAUCCUCAAAUAGCUAUUUUGACAGGGAAAUUAAGCAUUAAUUUUGGUAUCCCUUCAUAAAACACAAGAGUACUUUUGAUUAUAACUAUAGAUCAACGAAAAAUCUGCCUAAACAUUUUGAUAGCAUUUUUCAAAAAGCAGAAGAUGAAAAAUUGCCCAACUGGGGAGUUCGUGAUCUUUUCCUCAUUCUAGUCUACUUACGAUUCUUGGAAAAAUGAAUACUCACAUCUCAAACAACAGCCUGUUCAUCUGCAUCGUCCCGCAGAAUUCUAGGAAGUUAGGUGGCAAUAUUAAUUACAUUUCAAAAUUGACUGCUGCGAUAACUAAUUCGAUGGCUACUACAUGGUCAACGUUUGGACCCUUCCUGCCUGCACAUAGCCCUUUUUGGAUGCACAUUUUUUUUCUCUAGGUAAUAUAAUCUCCCAACUCAUUUCUUUACAAAUGCACCUUUAAUCAACACCAAAAGGUGUGGACAUGAUCUUUACCCUAGAAAACUAUUCACCGACAGGCAAAUUGACGUCAGAAAUACUAAGAGGAAUUCUAGUUUCCUUCGGGUUCAUGCCAUUUUGUACCCUUCAACUGUAACUCGAUUUCUAAACUGUAAUUUGUGACAUUAUAGUCCUUAAACUAUGAAACCCUUCUUACUCAAGUAUAAUGGUUAAUACAAUACCCGUGACUAGACAAGUAUGAAGCAACCAUAACAAAAAAAAAUGCAAAAUUCGAGAAAAGAAAGAAGUUUCGCGACCAAAGUAUGUAUCAAGGCAUGGUACAGAAAUAAAAGUGUCAAAAUUAAGAGUUUAGGGAUGAAAAAGAAUCAAAAUAUAGUUUAGGGAUUGAUUUGUCUCAAUUAGAGUUUAGAUGUCAACUAAGAAGAGAGAUAGAGUUGAAGAGUAGAAUAUAGAUAUAACAGUUCAAUUAUUGAUAUCAACGAGACAAUGACAACUUUGGAUUAUUACCAACCUCUUCUUGAUGGGAAAAGGAAAUAGAGAAGAAAGUCGGGCCUGGUCUAAGCCUGUUUCGGAGGCAAAACAACAUUAUGAAAUCACCGGCAUUCACACAAAUAUGUCAAAGUCACCGGCAUGCUAAGUUGCAAAAUUUAUACAAACACUGAAUAAUAUAUUGUUCUUAAAAUUUUUGUUUAAGAAUUAAGAUUUAACAAUUAGAGCACGGUACACGAAUUAGCAAUAUUAAAUAGGGAUAAUUUCAGAAACCUCCCUUGAGGUUUUUGAUAAUUUCAUUGACCUCCCUUGAGGUUUCGAAAAUAACAUUGACCUCCCCUCAACUGAUUUUGGGAUCCAUUGCUGAUGUAACCUAGAAUGAAUUUGCUACUUUGCCCUUAUGCAUAAAAGGGUGAUGAGAAACCAAUUUCUGGAAAAAUAUAAUUAGGUCAUUAAAUAAAUGAACUAAUAAAAUGAUAUUAACUGUAGUUCUAUCUCUAAAAAGCCAAUGUAACUACACUUAUGAAAUGACACUAAUUGAUGCACCAAUAUGGAGCCAUUUUUUGUGAUUGGACAUGACUUUAGAGAUCAACACAAGGAUAGUAUUAUACAAAAAAUUGGCGAAGAUGGAAAAAUGGAGGGAAAAGAAGGAAAAAAGCAUAGCUCCUCUCAGGUUAAAAUAUGCUUAUUUGCAUUAAGAUUAUUGACAUGCUACCCACUCAUGCUUUUGUAUAUGGUUGGCAUUAGUGACAAACAAUCAAUGGUCAUGAAAUUUGGCUAUGCAAUCCUCACCAUCUGCCUCAUUCAUCUGGGGCAGAUGGUGUUUGAAACUAUCUUGGAUUGCAUCGACAGUUAUGUAAUACUAUAACUGCUACAAUUAUAGCAAUUUUGAACUAAUGUCAAGUGACUUAUGUUACCUUACUAACUAGUUCAACUAAUAAGUUGUUGCUUAUUAUCUCUUAUUAAAGUUACAGUAGUAGUCAUCCAACAAUAGUCAUACAUUUCUUCCAAAUACAAUCCAACUGACAAGUACUAUUGGUUUACUUCUUACAUAAUCAGAAAAGAUUUAAAAUGGUUGGUACAAUGUCGUGACACUUUUAUAUUUGUUACGAGAGUUUAUCCAAUUGAUUUUAUAUUUUGGAUGAAUAUAGAUACAACACCUAGUAUGAUAUUUAUGAUGAGUAUCAUGUUAACUAUGGCCUUUGGUUGGUCUAGCCUUGCCACUUUUUAUUACCUCAAAAUUAGGUAAUCACACUAAAAAUAAAUUAUUUCUUGAGUUGCUUGAGCCGUUUAUAUGCUUUUGAAAGAAACUUAAAAUAUGGCCAUUGCACUAGCCAUUUGUACAGACUGAAGCUUCAAGUUGUUGUUACUGCACUUUUCCUAAUUGCUAUUACACCUACUAGAAUUUACUAAUUAUGUAUGUCUUUUAAUAGUUUUCAUUAUUUACAAAUACAAGUUGUGGAUAAGCAAAAAGGGCAUAUGUGGAACACAAAUAUCAUCUCACUCAAAAUAUUUUUUUAAUGCUCAUUUUCCUGACAUGGGCUGAUCAUGUUACUACAACUAUAAGUUCAGGGGAGGUUUAUGUCAUUUUCAAAACCUUAGGGGAGGUCAAUGAAAUUGUUGGAAGCCUCAGGGGAUGUUUCUGAAAUUAUCACUAUUAAAUAAUGAAUGUUCACAAUUGAUAAAGUUAUCAAAGUACAGUUUGAGGACAACCCAUUCCAACGUAUACAAGAUGUUUAGUCUUUGAAAAGUUAAUUAGAGAAAGUGACGAGAUUUUACUGGGCUUACAACUUCUAGGCCUUGGGAGUAAAAAGUGAAGACACUGAGUACUAUAAAAGGGCUAGAUGUUGCCUAGAAGCAUAUCAGCCUCAGACCACAUUUUGUAGCAAUGGGGAGCAAAGCAAAAGCAAUGGGGUCUAGGCUGACUCCUCUUUUUACCACCGUUUUAGUGGUAUUUGUUGCUCUUGGCUUGCCUUCAGAAACUGCAGCUGAUUACGACAAGUAUUCACCUCCUCCUCCUCCUUAUCAUUAUUACUCACCACCACCUCUUGUGCAUUCACCUCCACCAUCACCAGUUUAUAAAUCACCCCCACCACCUUAUCACUACUCCUCACCACCACCUCCAGUGUAUUCAUCUCCACCAUCACUACCAUCACCUGUUUACAAGUCACCUCCACCACCUUCGCCAUUAUACAAGUCCCUACCACCACCUUAUCGAUAUUCCUCACCACCACCUCCAGUGCAUUCACCUCCACCACCUCCUCCAGUUUACAAGUCCCCGCCACCACCUUACCAUUAUUCGUCACCACCACCUCCAGUGCAUUCACCUCCACCACCACCGAUUUACAAGUCACCUCCACCACCUCCUCCAGUUUACAAGUCUCCACCACCACCUUAUCAUUAUUUCUCACCACCACCUCCGGUGCAUUCACCCCCACCACCACCAGUUUACAAGUCUCCACCACCACCUUACCAUUAUUCUUCACCACCACCUCCUGUGCAAGCACCUCCACCACCAAUUUACAAGUCAUCUCCACCACCUCCUCCAGUUUACAAGUCUCCAUCACCACCUUACCAUUAUUCCUCACCACCACCUCCAGUGCAUUCACCCCCACCACCACCAGUUUACAAGUCUCCGCCACCAUCUUACCAUUAUUCCUCACCACCACCUCCUGUGCAUGCACCUCCACCACCAAUUUACAAGUCACCUCCACCACCUCCUCCAGUUUACAAGUCUCCACCACCACCUUACCAUUAUUCCUCACCACCACCUCCAGUGCAUUCACCCCCACCACCACCAAUUUACAAGUCUCCGCCACCACCUUACCAUUAUUCCUCACCACCACCUCCGGUGCAUUCACCUCCACCACCACCGGUUUACAAGUCACCUCCACCGGUUUACAAGUCACCUCCACCAUCUCCUCCAGUUUACAAGUCCCCGCCACCACCUUACCAUUAUUCCUCACCACCACCUCCAGUGCAUUCACCCCUACCACCACCAGUUUACAAGUCUCCGCCACCACCUUACCAUUAUUCCUCACCACCACCUCCAACGCAUUCACUCCCACCACCAGUUUACAAGUCACCGCCACCACCUCCUCCUGUUUAUAAGUCCCCUCCACCACCUCAUCAUUAUUCCUCACCACCACCUCCAGUGCAUUCACCCCCACCAGCGCCAAUUUAUAAGUCUCCCCCACCGCCUCCCCCAGUAUAUAAGUCACCACCACCACCUCCUCCAGUGUACAAGUCUCCGCCACCUCCAGUCUACAAGUAUAAGUCACCACCACCUCCUUCCCCAAUUUACAAGUCACCACCACCACCUCCUCCAGUAUACAAAUCACCUCCACCACCUCCUCCAGUUUACAAAUCUCCACCACCACCAAUUUAUAAAUACAAGUCUCCUCCACUACCUCCUCCAGUGUACAAGUCAUCACCACCACCUGCUUACAAGUCUCCACCUCCUCCAGUUUACAGUUCCCCACCACCACCAAUCUACAAGUCUCCACCUCCACCCUACCAUUACUACUACAAUUCUCCUCCUCCUCCUCGUCACUACUAAGCAAUUGUAUCCAAGUUUUUGAGGUAAUAACGUUUAACCAAUAAAUUAACUUUCGCAUGAUAAACCUUAUCUCUAUCUAGACAAACUGCCAUGUGUAUAAUGCCAAAUACGUACACCUAGAUCCAUGAAAAUGAGUGGUAGAAAGUUUUCUUAAGAACCAAGGAACAGCAUUAGUAUUCCCUCUGCUUCCAAACACUUGUGUAUUAAAUAGAUUAAUGAAUUGUUUAACAUGCUCAUCUACUUGAAAAUGCACAAUACCCAUAACCCACUGAAAUUUUUGCAGGAAAAGGGAAAGAGAAUCUGUGUUUGAGAGCUUCAUGAAGAUGUUGAAGAAUAAGAAUAAAAGCCCAAUGCGAGGAUGUUUUCAAGUUUUUCUAUGUUUCCACUUUAAUUUGUAAAUUGAAUUUUGCGACUCAAUUAAUUCCCUGUUUGUGGGGUACGUAUUGUUUUACGUACCAUGCCGUACAUGUUUGUAAGGAUUUCUAUCCUAUUGGCAAAAGUCGGUUCCGUACAAUUAAUCAAUUCAUUUCACUUCUAUUGGCUCUACUAUUUAUGCAUGUUACGACAUUUUUUCUCUCUUUCCCUUAUAUUUUGCCUUUAAUAUUAUUGAGUCAAUAUUAAUAAUGGGCCUUUUUCUUAAAAUUAUACUAUUAUACAUAGGUAGUUUGGUCUAACGCUAAAUUCAUGUUUGUCUUUCUUUUAUUCCCUUUACAUCUCAAAGUAUACUAUAGUUUGUAAUCAUUGUGGUGAUGAUAUUACCAGCUGGUACUUAUAGUUUAAGGCAGAGACAUGAUAUUAACAACUAUCUCAUUGAAACAUAAGGAAAAAUCAUGACAAGUGUGAGUCUUGGUUAAUGCACAAUUUGUUAGUGGAAUUUAUAUUUAUAAAACUCAAAAAAAAUUUUUGACAAUGCUAUUACUAAUUAAUUAAGGACUUUAUUGCUAUAACUUAUCGCUUACUAGUUUAAACUAUAAAUGAUCUCAAUACUUUUCUCCAUGAUGUCGAUUUCUUUAGACUACGAAAGGGAAAAAUUAGUGACAUAUCCUCUACUGAUUACAACAUCAGCAAAAAUUAGUUAUAAACUUUUCCGGUGGUUUUAAAUCCCUCGGGCCCUAAGAUUUUUUGCUCAUCGAGUGAAUUAAGGAACAUAGGCAAUUCGUUCUACAUACCAAGUCCUUGUUUAAGAUGCAAGUACUAAAAUGCAUCCACUUCAUUAAUUUGGGAAAUUGCCAUAGUUUUUUUUAAGCAUUUUGAUUUUUUACAUGAUUCAAAAUUUUCUGAUUGGAUACAAUCACUUUGUAUCAAGAACACAUUUUCAAUCACCUUUUUUUAUCUUCUCAAUAAGAAAAUAAAAAUUUAUUCAUGCUUUUCUAACAUAUUCAAUCAUUGAUCUGAAAAUUAAAACAUUAAAAAAAAAGGACAUUUUCAAUCACUGCUUACAGGGCAACUUCCCCAUGUGAACCUCUUCAAACAAAGCCAAUAAUAUGAAGGAAUAUCUAAAUAUACUUUUGCCCUAAAGGCUGGUUGCCUUGGGGUCAAAAUUUAACCUUCCGGAGUAUAAUUACCCUGCCAAAUUUAUUUUUUUUUUAUGGGUAUAUAGUUCCAAUUUUGCCUCCUGUUAAGCUUAUAAAUAUAUUAUCACCCAGAAAAUAAAGGAAUCUUGAAUACUAACAUGUCCAUUGACUUGAGUUGUCAUCAAUUUGGCUACUUCGAUUCCAUGAGGCCAAUCCAAUUCACACUAGCUAGAGAAAAUGGUGACAAAGGCACUUAGAAAAUUAUAUGUAAUAUUGAUUGGUAGUAACCAGCUUGUAUUGAUUGGUAGUAACCAGCUUGUGCUCUUAUGAAAAAAAAAUUAGCAAAAUUUAUGAGAACAAUUAAAUUUAUUCGUACAAAUCAGUCAAAGAAGUAGUAUUUUAAAGACCGUGAUGAAAUUAAUACUUUCAAGGUUUCUAUUAGGAAGACUUCCUUUGUUGGUGAAACUACACUAGGCAGAGUUAUAUGGUAUCAAAAAAUAGUUGUAUUCACGUCUGUUCUUUUUUUCUUCCUUAAGUUUUUUUCUUUAUUCUCGUGACUUCAAAAAUACGAACUCAAGAAAUUGGCUGCUCAAUCAGUAUGUCAUACAGGCUUCGCUAGUGAGGUAUAACUUCACAACUAGAGCCAAUAGAAAUCGUCAAAUGAUUUUUUGACAUCCAAAUUAAGCAAUAAAUUUUGUUUUCAUUUCAUAACAUAUAAUAGUACUACUUCAUGGGAGAUUUUAUAGUUUCUUUAGGGUAUCAUACCUACAAGUGAUAUUUGUCAUUGGAUAGUGAAAGAAGUGUUAAUGACUGUAAGAUUAAAUAUUGUUAAAUAUUGAAAAUUUAAACUAUUUAUCUUUAUUGAGAGAUACAACUUAAAGAAUCCUACCCAAAAGAGACUAUAGAAUUUUCUCUGUUUUUCAUCAUCUGUAGACAUAAAUUUUGCCUAUACAAUGUGAUAGCAUUUUUUCAAAAAGACAAGAUGGAAAAUUGCCCCCCUUGAACGGAAAAUUGCCCCCUUGUCAAUUCUUUAAAAAAGAAUACUCGCUCCUGAACAUAGCCUGUUCAUCUACACUGUCCCGCAGAAUUCUAGAAAGUUAGGCAAAACUAGACUAGUUGACAGGUAUAAUCAUACCCAACAUCAGGAACAAGCAGUUGCACAUUUCAAAAUUCGCUGCUGCAACAACUAAUUUGAUGACUUACAACACUACACGGUCAAACUUUGAAUGGCAAUGGAUCUUUUGAUGUAAUUUUCAUGUUACAUACAUUAAUAGAUUGAUAUCUAUAUUCUUUAAAUUAUCGUAAUAAUACUCUUAAUUACAUUUAAUUGAUAAAAAGAACACGUGUCAACACACAAAAAUGUGUAAUGUGAAUGUUACAUUAGUGUAUAGCAGAAGACCUAUAGUCUCUUCACAUCUCUUCCUGCACGUAUCAAUUCGUUUCCUCUAGAUAAUAAUCUCCCAACUCAUUUCUUUACAAAUGCACCUUUUAUGUUUUAUUACCUCCAAAAGCCUUUACAGGGUCUUUACCCUAAAAAUCAAUUCACCGACUCGCAUUUGAUAUCAGAAAUUCUUAUUACGAAUUCUACUUUACUCAAAGAUUGACUGUUAAUAAUGAGACAACGACCAUUUUGUAUUAUUACACCGUCCUUCUUGAUAGGCAAAAGAAAUAGAGAGGAAAGCGGGUCCGUAUAUGGUCUUUUAUUCAUAGAUAAUACAACAUUACGCCAUCGAGCAUUCACACAAUAUUUCAAAGUCAUUGCAUGCCUAAGACCCUGUUUGAUAAUCCAAUUCCAUACUUAAAUUUAAUGGAUUUAAAUCUUAACACAUUCAAAUCGUUUGAUAACAAAAAAUUGAACAUUUAAAUUAAUUAAGUAACACUGGAUUUCCAAGACAAAACUUGCUCCCAAAAUUAAGUGAUAAGUGAAUAACUUAUCACUGAAUGUAUGUAUUAGAUUUAAUACUUAAUAAUUUAAUAAUUUAAUGAAUUCAGAUUUCAGAUUUCAGAUUUCAGAUUUCAGUUUUCAGUUUUAUCACACACACCCUAAGUUACAAAUUAAUACCAAAACUUGUUAUUAUAUAGCUUGAGAUUCAAAAAUUUAGAGCAUAAUUCUCAACCUAACACAAUUGAAUAAUGAAUAUUCACGAUUGUCAAAACUAUCAAAGUACAAUUUGAGGACAACCCAUUCCAACGCGUACACGAUUUUUAACUUUUCUAAAGUUGUUGAGAGCUGUUGAAAGAGAUUUACCAUGUUUACAUCUUCCAAGUCUUGGGAGUAAAAAAUGAAGCCACUGAGUGCUAUAAAAAGGGGGCUAGAGGCUGCCUAGAAGCAUAUCAGCCUAAAACAAGAAUUUGUAGUAACAAUGGGGAGCAAAGCAAAAGCAACGGAGUCUAGGCUGACUCCUCUUCUUACCACUGUUUUAGUGGUAUUUGUUGCCCUUGGCUUGCCCUUGGAAACUGCAGCUGAUUAUUACAAGUAUUCAUCUCCUCCUCCUCCUCCUUACCACUAUUCCUCACCACCACCUCCUGAGUAUUCACCUCCACCAACCCCUGUUUAUAAGUUACCCCCACCAUCUCCUCCAGUUUACAAGUCCUCACCGCCACCUUACCACUACUCACCACCUCCGGUGUAUUCACCUCCACCAUCACCAGUUUACAAGUCACCGCCACCACCCCCUCCAGUAUACAACUCCCCGCCUCCACCAGUGUACAAAUACAAGUCCCCACCGCCACCUCCUCCAGUUUACAAAUCUCCACCGCCACCAAUUUACAAGUACAAGUCACCCCCACCACCUCCUCCGGUAUACAAGUCUCCUCCGCCACCUGUUUACGAGUACAAGUCUCCUCCACCACCUCCUCCAGUGUACAAGUCUCCACCACCUCCAGUUUACAAGUACAACUCACCACCACCUCCUCCCCCAGUUUACCAAUCUCCACCACCACCAGUUUACAAAUACAACUCACCACCACCUCCUCCCCCAGUUUACCAGUCUCCACCUCCACCCUAUCAUCACUACUACGGUUCUCCUCCUCCUCACCACUACUAAGCAAGUGCAUCUAAGUUUUGAGGUAAUAAUACCUAUCCAAAACUUUAUCAACACAAACUGCCAUGUAUAUCAUGCUAAGGACGUACACUUGAUCCAUGAAAAUGACUUGUAGAAGAUUUUUUUUAAGAACCAAAGAAAUACAUUAUUUUUUCGGUCUGUUUUCAAGAAUUUGAGCAGUAUACAGAUUAAAGAGUGUUUUUUUUUUUAAACUUGCUUAUCAACUUAGAAAUGCACAUAGCUGAAAGCCAACUGAAUAUUUGCAGGCAAAGGAGAAGACAAUCGGUGUUUGCGACCUUCAAGAAGAUGUAGAAGAAUAAGAAUAAAAGCCCAAUGCGAGGAUGAUUCCAAGUUUCUACGUUACCAUUUCUACAUCUAAAUUGACUCUAGCUCCUGAGUUCCAUGUUUAUGGGGUUUGUACCGUUUUACGUACCAUGCAGUGCAUGCUUGUAAGGUUUUCUGUCCUGUUGGCAAACUGCAGGUCCAUAUAAUAAAAGAAUACUAUUUAUAUUACGACACUUUUCUCUCUUUCUCUUAUAUUUUGUCUUUAAUAUUGUUGAUCAUUUUUUUUUAUUUAUCAAAAGUAUCAAAUGUUUAGGUAAUUUGGUCUAAUGCUAAUUGUUUUACUUCUCUUUUUCACCUACACCCCUUUUCAACUCAAAGGAUGCUAUAGUUUGUGAUAAUUGUUUAAGACCGAAGCAUGAUACUAAUAAAUAUCUCAUUGAAAGUCAAGGAAACUAACAUUAUGAAAAGUGUAAAUCUUGAUUUGAUGAAACUAUUUAUUCGUGGAAUUUAGAGAUACAAAACUCAAAUUGUGACGGUGCUGUUGCUAAAUUAUUAAGGACAUUAUCACCACUAUUUUUCCCUUACUAGUUUCAACUGCAAUGAUCUCAAUCUUUUUGUGACUAAUUCUUUUCUUAAUAAUUUAUAAAUACAAAACUCACAAAGAAUAUGUGACUAAUUCUUUCCUUUCGUCUUCUAAAGAAAAUGGCAACUGUUAGUUUAUCAAGGGAAAAAGGAUCGACAUCAGUUGUUAUUGAAACUAGUAAGGAAAAAAUAAUGGUGAUAAUGUCCUUAAUAAUUUAACAACAGCACCAUCAGAAUUUGAGCUUUGUAUCUAUAAAUUCCACGAAUAAAUAGUUUCAUCAAAUCAAGAUUUACACUUUUCAUAAUGUUAAGUUUCCUUGACUUUCAAUGAGAUAUUUAUUAGUAUCAUGCUUCGGUCUUAAACAAUGAUCACAAACUAUAGCAUCCUUUGAGUUGAAAAGCGAAGUAGGUGAAAAAGAGAAGUAAAAAAUACAAUUAGCAUUCCCUCAAAUCGUAGAAAGUUAGGUAGCAUUAUAGACAAGUUGAUAGCCGUAAUGAUACUAAAAAUCAGGCAAAAGCCAGCAAUUUUACAUUUCAAAAUUCACCUAUCCAAUAACUAAUUCGAUGGCUUGCUACAUGGUCAAUCUUUGGACCCCUUCCUGCCACCACAUAUCCCUUUCCUCAAUCAGGGGCUUCUACAAUUACCAGUUCCAAUUGUAUGGUAUAGUGUAAAUAUCAACAAAUCAGAUGUAGACGCUAAUUUAAUAAAUGUGGAUGCUAAGACAACAACAUACAAAAACAUAAUAAAUUUUGGCAUUCCUUAAAAAAAUUAAGUCCCCAAAUCAAUCUCAUACACCCAAUUUCUAAUUUAAUUUAACCCAUUCCCUCUAUUAACUACACCAUACAAUACAAUCGAACCCAUUCCCUUCUAAUUUCUUCACAAAAUGCACCUUUCAUCACCGACAUGAUCUUUACCCUAGAAGACUAUUCACCGACUCUCCAUUGACGUCAGAAAAUCUAAGAGUAAUUCUACUUUACCCUAAGAUUGAUAUCAACGAGACAAUAAUGACAAUUUAGAAUUAUUACACGCCUCUUCUUAAUAGGAAAAAGAAAUACAGAAGAAAGUCAGGCCAGGUCUAAUUCUUUUUCAAAGGCAAUACAAUAUUACGAAAUCAAGCAGUCAUUCAUACAAAUAUUUCAUAGUCACCGGCCGGGGUUUGCUGAGUAGAAAAGUUUAUACAAAAACUUAAUAUUAUAUUGUUUAAGAGUUAACAAUUUAGAGCUUAAUCUCCUUGUACUUUGGACUAAACUCGAACGUGAAAGGAAAUCCCAAAACCAUAUUGGGCAUGAAUUCACACUUAAUAGACCCAAAAGAAGAUGGCGACUGGUGAAAGGCAGUGGAGACUGGUGGAGAGAUUUGAGGAAUAGAAGCAGACGGAAAAGCAACAAAUUUUUGCCGAAAAACGGUCACUUUCAUGGUUAAUUUUGCUACUCUCUAAUUGUACUUGACCAAAUACAACAAUUUCAUGGAGUUUGAUACACAAGCCCAAAUACACGAGAGUGUGUAACCUGAAUUGUUACUUAUACAUUAGUGUGUAAUAGAACGGCAAGCAUUAUGGUGGUCAUUGAGCAACUUAUAGAAGAAAUAGUCCUAUAAGCUGUUCGAUGACCAAUCGCAACUUGCUAAUUGGAUGACUAAUAUAGCUCUAGCUGUAAUGUUUUAAUUAAAUUCCAUCACUAACGUUGGGAUGACUUUUUAACCAAAAAAAAAAAAAAAGCCUUAGUUCAAGCUUUUCCCCUUAUUGUGCAUUUUUUAAAACAUUUGAUAGGCACUGCAAAUCUGUCAUUUUGGACAUCAACCCAUAUCCAACACAAGAUUAAAUUAAUAUUAGAAAAAAUUAUUACGUAAUUGGAAAAAAAAAAAGAAGAGACUAAUUUUCAUUGAAACCCACCGACAAACUAAGCGUGUCCAUAGCUUUUGAUUAGUUCAUUGCCGAUCACAUGGAGUAAAGAUUGUGCUCUUUCCCUUUCCCCCCCUUUUGGAAUCGAUACUGUGGAGAAUUGGCUUUUUCCCUCCUUUUUUUCUUUUCUUUUCUUUUCUUUCCUUCUGUACUUUGCAAAACAUAGGUAAAAAUAUGAAAUCCGAAGCAUUCUUUAAUUGGGAUUAAGUAUUGUUCUUGAAAUUAAAAAAAAAAAGAAAGAAAGAACAACAAAAAUCCCAAUCUGGGUUGAUUGUUGAGCUCUAGAUUGGCUGCAUCGUGCUUCCAUAGAAGUUCUCUUAGUGUGAUACGCUGCUUUCAAUCAGUUUUAACACGGGAAAAAGAAAAGACAUGAAAAGCAAAUUUUGUGGGGAUAAUUUCGGUAACCUCCCCUGAAGUUUUUGACUAUUUUACUGGCCUCCCUUCAGAUUUUAAAAAUUGCACUAAUCUUCCUUAAAGUUAAUUAUCUUGUAACAUUUAGAUCCAAUCAAUAAUUUAAAAAAUGAUAUUAUGAGAGAGAAAAUAAUAUGAUUUUAUCAUUGCCCCCAUCUUACUACAUUAUUUAAUUAAUUUAAUAGCAACCCACACAUUAAAGAAAAAUGCAAAAAUUUGUUGUUUAUCAUUAAAGAUCAUCAUAUCGCAUAUAACAUCAAAAAAUAGUAUAUUAUUUAUAUUUUUCACUUAAUAUAAUAUCCAAAUUACUCUUUUCAGUUACAUACCCAUUGUUAGACAAAAUCAACAACAAAUAACCAAAAAAUUUGCAACCAAAAUAUUACAAAAAAAUAAACUUUAACAUCAUAAAUAUUUUUAUCAACAUAUUAAAGUUAGUUAUUGAAAUUUUUAUGGUGUUAAACUUCACUCUUUGUAAUAUUUUGGUUACAGAUUUUUUUGAUUAUUUGUUGUUGAUCGUGUUUGACAAUGGAUUUGUAACUGAAAAGAACAAUUUGGAUCUUACAUUAAGUGAAAUAUAUAAAAAUAUUAUACUAUUUUUUAUGGCAUAUGUGAUUCUUUUUUUUUUUUUUUUUUUAUCAGAACGGCAACAUUGUAUUAAUAGUAAACCAAUUACAGUAUAGGUGGGCAACCGCCCUCACAAUCUGCCUGGACUUGUUCCAGCAGCCAAACUGGGAAGUUUUCCUUCCAUUCAGUAUUUUGUUCCAAAGUAAUAGCUACUUUAGCUAGUUUAUGGCUAACAAAGUUGUUCACCCUAUUUGCAAAGGUAAAACAACAUUCAUCAAAUUUUAUUCAUGUACAAUUGUUGCUAUCACCACGUCCUCCUCCUCCUCCUCACUGCACACUACUUGACUACCACCCUUCGCCAACCUUGCUGUUGCAUGUGCAACUAUCAUGGCCUCUCUUAGCGCCUUUGCUUCUUCGACCUUUGGACUGGCACAGCUAAAAUUUGGAACAGCCCAGGCCCACCCGCAAUCUUCCCAACCAAUCCCUGGCCACCCUUUUCCCACCCAGCUUCUAUGGCAUGUGUGAUUCAAUCCUUCUUGAUAGGAUUGGUAAUAGAGGCAGAGGGGGGAGCCGGCUGCAUCCGGUCUACUUUUCAUAGAUAGUACAAUAUUGCGAAAUCGAUCGCAUUCACACAAGAAUAUUUCGAAGUCAUUGCAUCGCUAAGUUGCAAAAAAGUACAAACACUUGUUAUUAUAUAGCUUAAGAUUCAAAACUUUAGAGCACAACCCUCCACCUAACACAAUUGAAUAAUGAAUAUUCACGAUUGUCAAAUCUGUCAAAGCACAGUUUGAGGACAACCCAUUCCAACCUGCAAAAGAUUUUUGACUUUUUUAAAGUUGUUGAGAGCUGUAAAAAGACUUACCAUGCUUACAUCUUCCGAGCCUUGGGAGUUAAAAAUGAAGGCACUGAGUGCUAUAAAAAGGGGGCUAGAGGCUGCCUAGAAGCAUAUCAGCCUAAAACAAGAAUUUGUAGUUAUGAUGGGAAGCAAAGCAAAAGCAAUGGGGUCUGGGCUGACUCCUCUUCUUACCACUGUUUUAGUGGUAUUUGUUGCUCUUGGCUUGCCCUCAGAAACUGCAGCUGAUGAUCACUACAAGUAUUCAUCUCCUCCUCCUCCUUACCACUAUCCCUCACCACCACCUCCAGUGCAUUUACCUCCACCAGUGUACAAAUACAAGUCCCCACCACCACCUCAUCAUGUUUACAAGUACAAAUCUCCACCACCCCCACCACCACACCCAGUUUACAAGUAUAAGUCGCCACCACCACCUCCUCAUCCGGUAUACAAGUACAAGUCUCCUCCGCCACCUCCUCAUCCGGUACCACACCCAGUUUACAAGUAUAAGUCACCACCACCACCUCCUCAUCCGGUACCACACCCAGUUUACAAGUAUAAGUCUCCUCCGCCACCAGUUUACAAAUAUAAGUCUCCUCCACCACCACCUCCAGUGUACAAAUACAAGUCUCCACCACCACCAGUUUACCACUACAAGUCUCCACCACCUCCUCCCCCAGUUUACAAAUACAAGUCUCCACCACCACCAGUUUACCACUACAAGUCUCCACCACCUCCUCCCCCAGUUUACAAAUACAAGUCUCCACCACCACCACCACCAGUUUACCACUACAAGUCACCACCACCUCCUCCCCCAGUUUACAAAUACAAGUCUCCACCACCUCCUCACCACUACUAAGCAAUUGCUUCUGAGGUAAUAACACUUGUUCAAUAUACACACUUCUGCAUGAUAAAACAUAUCUCUAUCAACACAAACUGUCAUGUCUAUCAUGCUAAGUGCCUUCACUUCAUCCACGAAAAUGACUGCUAGAAAAUUUUUUUUUAAGUUACCAAAGAAAAGCAUCAUUUUUUCCCUCUGUUAUCAAGAACUUGUACAGUAUGUAGAUUAAAGAGUUUUUAUUUUAACUAGCUUAUCAACUUAGAAAUGCAUAUAACUGAUAGCCAGCUGAAUAUUUGCAGGCAAAGGAGAAGGAAACCAGUGUUUGGACCUUCUUGAAGAUGUAGAAGCAUAAGAAUAAAAGCCCAAUGUGAAGAUGAUGAUUUCAAGUUUUUCUACGUUACCAUUUCUAUAUCUAAAUUCGUUGUAGCGCCUUAGUUCCUUUGUUUAUGGGAUUUGUAUCGUUUUACGUACCAUGCAGUACAUGUCAUGUUUGUAAGGUUUUCUAUCCUGCCGGCAAAUCGCAGGUUCCAUGUAAUAAAUCAAUACUAUUUAUAUUACGACACUUUUCUCUGUUUCUCUUAUAUUUGUUUGGAUUGAGCUUUAUUUCCCCAAAUUUAUUUGCUUACAUCAUCAUUACAAUUUCUAAUACACCUUUUUACCUUCCCGAUUACCUUUUUAUCUCACAUACAUCACAUCACAAAAAGUGCUACAGUAAAAAUAUCUCUAAUAAUUCACAAUCCAAACAGACUUUUGUCUUUAAUAUUCUUAAUCAUAUUUUUAACAAAAAUAUUCAAAUACUUAGGUAAUCUGGUCUAAUGCUAAUUGUAUGUUUUACUUUUCUUUUUCACCUGCUCCCCUUUUCAACUCAAACGGAUGCAAUAGUUUGUGAUCCCUGUUUAAGACGGAAGCAUGAUACUAAUGAAUAUAUCAUUGAAACUCAAGGAAACUAACAUUAUGAAAAGUGUAAAUCUUGAUUUGAUGCAACUAUUUAUUCGUGGAAUAUAUAGUUACAAAACUCAAAUUCUGACUGCGCCAUUGAUAAAUUAUUAAUGACGCUAUCAUCAUUAUUUAUCCCUAACUAGUUUCGACUACAACUGAACCCAAUAUUUUCCCCAUGAUAAAAGUUUUUGACUAUUUUACUGGCCUCUCUUCAAAUUUUAAAAAUUACACUAAUCUUCAUUGAGAUUAAUUAUCUUGUAACAUUUAGUUCCGAUCAAGAAUUUAAAAAUGAUAUUAUGAGAGAAAAAAUAAUAUAAUUUUAUCAUUGCCCCCCAUCUUGCUAUAUUAUUUAAUAAAUUUAAUAGCAACCCACACAUUAAAGAAAAAUACUAAAAUUUGCUACUUUUCAUUAAAGAUCAAAUUGCAUAUGCCAUAAAACAUAGUAUAUCAUUCUAUGUGUUUCACCUAAUGUAAGAUCCCAAUUGUUAUUUUCAAUUACAAACCCAUUGUCAAACAUGAUCAACAACAAAUAACCAAAAAAUUUGCAACCAAAAUAUUACAAAAAAAAAUAAACUUUAACAUCAUAAAUAUUCUUACCACCUCCAGUGCAUUCACCCUCACCAACCACUAGUUUACAAGUCACCCCCACCACCUUACCACUAUUCCUCACCGCCACCCACAGUGCAUUCACCUCCACCACCACCUGUUUAUAAGUCACCUCCACCACCUUAUCAUUAUUCGUCACCACCAUCUGCAUUGCUUUCACCUCCAUCAUCACCAGUUUACAAAUCACCACCACCAUCUUCCCCAGUGUACAAGUCCCCUCCACCACCAAUUUACAAGUCUCCGCCGCUAUGUCCCCCAGUAUAUAAGUCAUCCCCACCACCGCCUCCAAUGUACAAGUCUCCGCCGACACCAAUCUACAAGUACAAUUCACCACCACCCAUGCCUCCAGUUUACAACUCCUUGCCACCACCUAUUUACAAACACAAGUCUCCCCCACCACUUCCUCCGGUAUACAAGUCAUCUCCACUGCAUCCUCCAAUUUAUGAGUCUCCUCGUCCACCAGUUUACGAGCACAAGUCUCCUCCACCGCCUCCUCCAGUAUAUAAGUCACCACCACUAUCUCCUCCAGUACAUGUCUCCACCACCGCCUAUUUACAAAUCUCCGCCUCCUCCAGUUUACAAUUCCCCACCACCACCAAUAUACAAGUCUCCACCUUCAUCCAACCAUUACUACUAUAAUACUCCUCCUCCUCCUUCGCACUACUGAGGAAUUGCAUCCAAGUUUUGAGGUAAUAACGCGUAACCAGUAUAAACUUUUGUAUGAUAAACCUUAUCCCGAUCAACACAAACUGCCAUGUGUAUCAUGCUAAGUACGUACGCUUAGAUCCAUGAAAAUGACUAGUAGAAGGUUAUCCUAAGAACCAAGGAACAUUAGUUUUCCCUCUGUUUCCAAAAACUUGUGUUUGUUUAACAUGCUUAUCAACUUGGAAAUGCGCAUUGCUAAUAGCCAACUGAAAUUUUUGCAGGCAAAUUGGGAAGAGAAUCAGUGUUUGAGCGGUUCAUGGAAGAAUAAGAAUAAAAGCCCAAUGCGAGGAUGUUCUCAAGUUUAUUAAUGUUUCCGUUCUAUUUUGUAAAUUGAUUUUUGCGACUUAAUUAAUUCCCUGUUUGUGGGGUUCGUGUUGUUUUACCUACAUGCCAUACAUGUUUGUAAUGAUUUUUAUUGCAAAAUGCCGGUCCAAUAAAAUAACUGUAUUCAUUUUGUGUCUUUUGAGUAAACUUCUAUUGGUUCUACUACUUAUUUUACGAUAUUUUUUUUCUCUCUUUCUCUUACAUUUUCCGUUUAAUAUUAUUGAUAAUUUUUUUAACAAAAAAGGUUGAUAUACUUAGGUAGUUCACUAGUUUGGUCUAAUCCUAACUUCAGGCUUGUCUUGUCUUUUAUCUCUACAUACCUUUUCAACUCAAAGGAUGCUACUAUAAUUUGUGAUCAUUGUAGUGGUGAUAUUCCGAGCUAUUACAUAUAAUUUAAGGCAGAGAUUUGAUCCUAGCGAGUAUCUCACUGACAGAUUAGGAAACAUCAUGAAAAGCGUAUAUCUUGAAUUAGUGCAACUAUUUCUUAGGGGAAUUUAUAGUUACAAAAUUCCAAAUUUUGAGAUUCUAUUACUGAUUAAUUAAGGACGUUAUCACUAUUUUUUUUUAAUUAUCACCAUUAAAUACCCCACAUACUAUAAGUUUUUUUAGGGCACAGGAAAAGAGGUGGGCCGAUGUUUAGUUAUCUACAAAAGUUCAAAUUUUGUAGAUAAAUUAUCAUGCGCCCUUAAAGAGUGCAGAAUACCAAAAAAAAAAAAAAAAAAAAAUCAUAUACUAUAACUAAUCCUAAUAUUUUUCCCUACGAUAAACUAACUCUUAUCCAUUUCUUUAGAUGAUGAAAGGAAAUAGUUAGUCACAUAUCCUCUAGUGAUUACAACAGCAUCAAAACAAAUUAGCACUCUUUUCCCGUAGUUUAAAAAUCCCUCAGCCACUAAGAUUUUGCAUAUCGAACGAAUUAAGGAACAUAGGCGCUUCGUGCUGGACAACAGUGUCCUUGUUGACGAUGCAUCCGCAUAUACUUCCUUAAGCAUUUUGAUUAUUUUAUGAUUCGAAUUUUUCUUGUCUGACAGCUGGACUUAAUUGAAAAACUCAAGUAAUAAUAUUCCAAAGCUGAUUCGUCAAAGUUUACCCAAUUGGUGAAACUUUCUUAAUAGAGCUGACUUUGUAUUACGUGACAAUGAUAUGGAUGCUCAAAGUUUUCAAUGGGAAAUUUAUAUGAGCUUUUCACGACAAAAUGUGUUCCGAUAAAGGUUCAUUCCAGAGGUUAAAAUUUUGUUUGUUAAAAAUUUACUUCUCAAGUCUUUGAUGCGAAAGUCUUGGUAUUUCCAAAAAGUCUUGAAAUCGCAGCAUAUAAGCCACUUUCUGUUCUCUUUUUUUCAUUGAAGUCUUUCCAAAUGUCAGUUCCAAAAGGAGUUUUUUAUGAAUUAUGAUAGAUAAUUAAUCUGACGGUCCAUAUAUAUGUGAUUUGCAAGAGGGUGUUUGGCGAAAUGGUUAGGCUUUCUAAGUAAUGAUAGGAAUGCCAUUUGCAAAGAAGGACAGGGGGCCUGUGCUGUCAUAUUUUAUGCGAUUUGAUCCGUUGUUGUAUAAGUUUAAAUUUUUGACGUGCAAUUGUGCUACAAUAUUAUACUAAAUAUAUGUGUGAAAUAUUUUGUCUAUAUACAUCACUUUUAUCGUGAAUACAACAGCUGAGUAUAAUAAUAUAAUAUAAUGUAAUUAUACACCAAAUAAUGUAACAAAUAUAACAAUCGAUCUGAAUUACACGAAAUCAUAACAACAAGAUCACCGCCUCCCAAAUUUUACAAAAUAAGGUUUUUUUUUUCUUUUAGAUUAUUGAAAAUUUUCAAAAAUAUUCUACAUAAUUUAAAUUUUUGUCCUACAAAAAUUAAAAGAGAUUUUAUAUUGCACGCUUAAGCUUAGAUAUAUUAAAGUUUGCCCCCAAGAUUAAUUUUCCGUUUUUAUCUAUGGUUUCUCAUCUAUGAGCCGAUCCAUAUAGCUAGUUAGACUGUACUCCUCACAUUUGUGGGAUUUGACACCCAAGAUUCUCCUUCUUGGAAUGUAAAAUGUAGAUCUUCUAUGUUAAUAAUUCAGGACCCAACUGUCAUAAACGAAAUGACUGAUCAACUCCUGUAAAUCUAAUUUAACAACAUUUAAAUGGAGAACUUUAGCUAAAAGAAUUAUGGUUAUUUUCCAACAUAUGCAAUCAUUGAUCAGAAUAUAUAUAUAUAUAUGUAAAAGACAUCUUCAGUCAUUUCAUAGCUUACCAGGCAAAUUAACCCCUAAGUGAACCUCUUCGAACAGAACUGACAAUAUGGAUGAAGAUCUGGAUAUUCUUUUAUCCUGACUCCUAAGGGAAAACUGGUUGAUCUAGAAUCAAAAUUUUACCCUAGUUACCCAGGCAACUUUUUUGUUGCCUUUUUUUUUUUUGGUAUAAAGCUCCAAUUUUGCUCCCUCUGUUAAGCUUAUAAUGCAUAUAAUUAUUAAGAUAAUAAAAGUGCCUUGAAUAGUAUUAAUAUAUGCAUUGACUUGAGCUGUCAUCAGUUCGGCCACUUCGAUUCCAUGAGGCCUUUUCAAUUCACACUAGCUAGAAAAUGGGGAGUCGUGAAAACCUUUUGUUCUAUUCAUUGCUAAGAUGCUUUUCUCUAUAAAGAGACUUCCUAACGAAAAUACUUUGUAGAUUUCUUUACUCCAAGUGGUGCAUGAAAAAUUAAUAUUUUCAAUUAACAAAUAAAAUUCCCUUUUUUUGGUGUAGAUUUCAUCCAUCCAGCUGUUAACACAUUCUAUAAAUCCGAAUUGACUAAUCUUUUCAUUUCCAUUUUCCAACUUGCGAAUACGGCAUCUUAUAUAAUGUCUGCUAAACACUAUAUAUUCUCUGCCAAAUAUGAAUACAUAUCACUUUUCUGAGCAAGUGCAGAGUCAUUAUCAUUUUUAUUCCCACAUAACAAAUUAGUGGUUGAGCAUCUUUACAUGCUAUCAGGUCACAAGUUAAUAAUCUUUUAAAGAACAUGUUAAAUUAAUUUAUUGGUAUGAAUAGUCAAAGAAGUAUGUUAAAGUUAGCAAUCUUUAAAAUAAUAUGUUAAAAUCAUUAGUACAAAUUAGUCAGAGAAGUAGCAUAAACACCACGAUGCAAUUAAUACUUUCAAUCUCAAGGUCUCUCUUACGGAAAUUUGCAUCGGUCAACAUACACAAAGCAUAAUUGUAUGCACGUCUCUCUAUCAUGGAAUUUGCAUAGGUCAAUAUACACUUGGCAUAGUUGAUAGUUGUAUGCGCGUAGGCAUGGCCAUGGUUCCAUUUGGAACUGGGAAUCAGACCGAAACCGGAUCGUUUGGAACCAGAUCAGAACCGGAAUCAAAACCAUGAAACCAGAACCGUGAUAGAACCUUGGAUAAAGGUUCCGGUUCUGGUUCUCUAAAAAAUAGAACCAGAACCAGAACCGUUAAAAAUAAUUAAUAUAAGUGGUGAGAUAAUUCAAAAAAAAUUAGUUGUGUUUAAUAGGUUUUAAGAAAGUUUAAAUUUUAUGGACUUUCUAUAUAUUUUAUUAAUUAUUUAAUUCUUUCUAUUCAUCUAAUAUUUAUCAUUAUAAUUUGCAAGUAUUAAAUUAUUACUUAAAAUUUUUUUUUUUUUUUGCUUAUUUGCUAUCAAAUGACAAGUUUUGAUGGUAGUAGCUCAUCUUCAAAAUCAAGCAAGCAAAAAAAUAUUUUUUGCAAUAUUUCUUCAAAUGGAAUCUUCAACAUUGAUGAUUGUCCAACUCAAGAAAGUCAACAUAUGACAACCAUUUGAUAGUGUAAUGUAUUUUUUAAUUUGACAAUGUAAUGUACUUUUCAUAAAAUUUAUAUUAUCUAUUUAUUACUUCUUACUUUGUAGAAUAAUAAUAAAAUUAAAAUAUGAUCUUUAUUUUGUAUUUAUUUUUUUACGUUUUAUUUGAAAUUUUAAAUAUAUUGUUAUAUUCGUAUUAAAAUUGGUAAGGAUAAGGAAUUAAAUAAAAUUGUAUAUAACCAUACAGAACCGGAAACCGGAACCAGAACUAUAAGGAACCAAAAUCAGAACUAUGCGGUUCUGGUUCUACCUCUUUGAAGAACCAGAACCAGAACCAUUUUAUAUGGUGCGGUUCUGGUUCUACCUUUUUUAAGAACCAGAACCGGCGGUUCUAGAACCGUGGUCAUGCCUAUAUGCACGUCUUUUAUUUUAUUUUAUUUUAUUUUUUGGUACUGUUCUUCCUUGCUUUAUAGUAUGCACGUUUAUUUCUUUGGAUUGCUUAAGAUUAUAUUGUUAAUAAUAGGGCAUUUAACCAUAAAUUAUAAUAAUUAUGAAGUAAUAUAUAUUAGAAAAUUAACACAAUUAUGAUUUUUUUUUUUUGUAAAUUCAAAUUUUAUUAAUAAGAAAUGAAAUAGACCGUAAGCAAAAACAAAAUCCUACAACAACUCUAGGACUCUACACCUUAUAUAAAAAAAAACUAGGACUCUAUACCUCAGAGAAGCUAAACAAUCCAACAAAUAAAAUGCAAAAUAAAUCACAAUAACGCAAAUUAUGUUAAGCUAAUAAAUACUACCAUGCAACAAAAUUUUUGUCUUUGUCCCGCGUGAAACUACGAAGUCAAGAAUUGACUCCUUUAACCAGUAUUGCCAGCGGGGCUCCGUCAGCAAGAUACAACUUUGCAAUUUUAUACAAUAGAAAUCCUCAAAUAGCUAUUUUGACAGGCAAAUUAAGCAUUAAUUUUGGUAUCCCUUCAUAAAAUACAAGAGUACUUUUGAUUAUAUCUAUAGAUCAACUUUCUAGGCUUGAUGUAUUAUAAGAAAAAUCUGCCUAAACAUUUUGAUAGCAUUUUUCCAAAAGCAGAAGAUGGAAAAUUGCCCAUUUGUAAUGGGGAGUUCGUGAUCUUUUCCUCAUUCUAGUCUACUUACAAUUCUUGGAAAAAGGAAUACUCACAUCUCAAACAACAGCCAGCUCAUCUGCGCUGUCCUGCAGAAUUCUAGAAAGUUAGGUGGCAAUGUUAAUAACAUUUCAAAAUUGACUGCUGCGAUAACUAAUUCGAUGGCUUACUACAUGGUCAACGUUUGGAUCCCUUCCUGCCGGCACUGUCCUUUUUGGAUGCACAUUUUUUUUCUCUAGGUAAUAUAAUCACCCAACUCAUUUCUUUACAAAUGCACCUUUAAUCACCACCAAAAGGUGUGGACAUGAUCUUUACCCUAGAAAACUAUUCACCGACAGGCAAAUUGACGUCAGAAAUACUAAGAGGAAUUCUAGUUUCCUUCGGGUUAAUGCCAUUUUGUACCCUUCAACUGUAACUCGAUUUCUAAGCUGUAAUUUGUGACAUUAUAGUCCUUAAACUAUGAAACCCUUCUUACUUAAGUAUAAUGGUUAAUACAAUACUGGUGAUUAGACAAGUAUGAAGCAACCAUAACAAAAAAAAAUCCAAAAUUAGAGAAAAGAAAGAUGUUUCGCGACCAAAGUAUGUAUCAAGGCAUAGUAUAGAAAUAAAAGUGUCAAAAUUAAGAGUUUAGGGAUAAAAAAGAAUCAAGAUAUAGUUUAGGGAUUGAUUUGUCUCAAUUAGAGCUUAGGUGUCAACUAAGAAGAGAGAUAUAGUUGAAGGGUAGAAUAUAGAUAUAAAGGUUCAAUGAUUGAUAUCAGUGAGACAAUGAUAACUUUGGAUUAUUACCAACCUCUUCUGGAUGGGAAAAGGAAAUAGAGAAGAAAGUCGGGCCUGGUCUAAGCCUGUUUCGGAGGCAAAACAACAUUAUGAAAUCACCGGCAUUCAGACAAAUAUGUCAAAGUCACCGGCAUGCUAAGUUGCAAAAUUUAUACAAACACUUAAUAUUAUAUUGUUCUUAAAAUUUUUGUUUAAGAUUUAACAAUUAGAGCACGGUACACGAAUUAGAAAUAUUAAAUAAUGAAUGUUCACGAUUGAUAAAGUUAUCAAAGUACAGUUUGAGGACAACCCAUUCCAACGUGUACAAGAUGUUUAGCCUUUGAAAAGUUAAUUAGAGAAGGUGACGAGAUUUUACGAGGCUGACAUCAUCUAGGCCUCGAGAGUAAAAAAUGAAGACACUGAGCGCUAUAAAAAGAGGGCUAGAUGUUGCCUAGAAGCAUAUCAGCCUCAGACCACGUUUUGUAGCAAUGGGGAGCAAAGCAAAAGCAAUGGGGUCUAGGCUGACUCCUCUUCUUACCACCGUUUUAGUGGUAUUUCUUGCUCUUGGCUUGCCUUCAGAAACUGCAGCUGAUUACUACAAGUAUUCAUCUCCUCCUCCUCCUUACCAUUAUUCCUCACCACCACCUCCUAUGCAUUCACCCCCACCACCGCCAGUUUAUAAGUCACCCCCACCACCUUACCACUACUCCUCACCGCCACCUCCAGUGUAUUCAUUUCCACCACCUUUGCCAAUAUACAAGUCUCCGCCACCACCUUACCAUUAUUCCUCACCACCACCCCCAGUGCAUUCACCCCCACCACCACCAGUUUACAAGUCUCCCCCACCACCUUACCAGUAUUCCUCACCACCACCUCCGGUGCAUUCACCACCACCUCCUCCAGUUUACAAGUCCCCGCCACCACCUUACCAUUAUUCCUCACCACCACUUCCAGUGCAUUCACCUCCACCAUCACCGAUUUACAAGUCUCCACCACCACCUUACCAAUAUUCCUCACCACCACCUCCACUGCAUUCACCUCCACCACCACCGAUUUACAAGUCACCUCUACCGCCUCUUCCAGUUUACAAGUCUCCGCCACCACCUUACCACUAUUCCUCACCACCACCUCCGGUGCAUUCACCUCCACCACCACCGGUUUACAAGUCACCUCCACCACCUCCUCCAGUUUACAAGUCCCCGCCACCACCUUACCAUUAUUCCUCACCACCACCUCCGGUGCAUUCACCUCCACCACCACCGGUUUACAAGUCACCUCCACCACCACCUCCAGUUUACAAGUCCCCGCCACCACCUUACCAUUAUUCCUCACCACCAACUCCAGUGCAUUCACCCCCAUCACCACCAGUUUACAAGUCUCCGCCACCACCUUACCAUUAUUCCUCACCACCAUCUCCGGUAAAUUCACCUCCACCACCACCGGUUUACAAGUCACCUCCACCACCUCUUCCAAUUUACAAGUCCCCGCCACCACCUUACCACUAUUCCUCACCACCACCUCCAGUGCAUUCACCCCUACCACCACCUGAUAGGGUAUAAUUUGUUAGUAUUUUUAUUAUUAAUUUUCCCUUCUAUCCCUGACAAAUAUUGUGUUAAUUGCUGAUAUUUACUCAUAUUUGGUAUUUGGAAUCAAUUUCAGGAAUGAAGCAGAAAACUACCAAAAAGGAGGGACUUUGUGAAAAAUAUGGAGACUUCUAAGGGCUUCAAUCCUUGGGCCCUUGAAUUGGUGGGGGACCACAAGCUAGUGAAAGGCAUUUGGUCAUUUGGGCUUCAAAGAAAGCAACGUAGAGAGACUUGGAACAAGAAGUACUUGGGAGGCUUUGUCCACAUGUGUGGGGACCACCUAGAUAGCUUUUAGUCAUCUUUCUUUUGUUGCUUUAAAAGGGGACAACGUACAGAAGCAAAAGAUAUCUAGGGCUUUAGUUUUAGUUUUUAGUUUAGUUCUAGUUUUCUUUCUUUGGACUGGCCUCUGACACACGCCAGGUAUUCGACAAUAUUCCCCAACGGGGAGAUUUUCUCAUGAGGCGUGGUUAAGCUUUUCAAGGGGACACUGACGAUUUGGUUCAAUUUACUGUGAGAUCGAAUCUGUUUUAUUUUUUUCUUCAUUUUGGUUUUUAUAUGUUCCUUGAUUUUAAUUGCUAUGGCCUUGUGUAUGAUUGAUUAGUGCACAAUAAUUAAUUAUUCAUAUAGGCUAUUUUUGCUAAAUAGGGGUAAUUGAAUCCGUAAUUGUUCGUUAUCUCUACCUCAGUAGCAACUGGCGUAAUUGGGUUUAUGUCAGGGGAGCAUAUGAUCUAAUUUAAACAAACCCUCGUAGCGUAUUUGUUGGUUAGGAUUGGGCCUUUCUAAUUAUUAUGCAAUCUAGAAAUUAAAUCCUACGGUCGUACCUAGGGUUAUUUUUGGGUUAGAGAAAUAGCUAACGGUCGUACCUUAGCUAUCGAGAAAUUAAGGAAGGGUUGGUUGUUUAUCGCGUGCAUGACAACUAUAACUAAUCUAUUGCUAAAUGUUGGAAUUAUUUCUGCAUCAAUGAUCAGUGCCUGAACCAUUUCUGAAGUGUACCCUUGGCUAGAGUUUCUCUUAAUUAUUUCUUUUAAUCAAUUAUUUUCUGCACUUGAUUUAUUUAGUUAGCAUUUAAUCCAAGAACCUCCCAUACUCUGGACUCUAGAAGAAACGAAUUAUCCCCAAUCCCUGUGGAUUCGACCCUGCUCGCCGCUAUAUACAAAAUCUGUAUUUUUCUUGAGUAGGUAAUUAUUAUUGCACAGGUUCGGCACCUGUCACCACCAGUUUACAAGUCUCCGCCACCACCUUACCAUUAUUCCCCACUACCACCUCAAACGCAUUCACUCCCACCACCAGUUUACAAGUCACCGCCACCACGUUCUCCAGUAUACAAAUCACCUCCACCACCUCCUCUAGUUUACAAAUCUCCACCACCAUCAAUUGAUAAAUACAAGUCUCCUCCAGUGUACAAGUCAUCUCCACCACCUGCUUACAAGUCUCCACCUCCUUCAGUUUACAGUUCCCCACCACCACCAAUCUACAAGUCUCCACCUCCACCCUACCAUUACUACUACAAUUCUCCUUCUCCUCCUCCUCCUUCUCACUACUAAGCAGUUGUAUCCAAGUUUUUGAGGUAAUAACGCUUAACCAAUAAAUUAACUUUCGCAUGAUAAACCUUAUCCCUAUCAAGACAAACUGCCAUGUGUAUCAUGGCAAAUCCGUACACUUAGAUCCAUGAAAAUGAGUGGUAGAAGGUUUUCUUAAGAACCAAGGAACAGCAAUAGUAUUCCCACUGCUUCCAAAAACUUGUGUAUUAAAUAGAUUAACGAAUUGUUUAACAUGCUUAUCUACUUGAAAAUGCACAAUACCCAUAACCCAUUGAAAUUUUUGCAGGAAAAGGGGAAGAGAAUCUGUGUUUGAGAGCUUCAUGAAGAUGUUGAAGAAUAAGAAUAAAAGCCCAAUGCGAGGAUGUUUUCAAGUUUUUCUAUGUUUCCACUUUAAUUUGUAAAUUGAAUUUUGCGACUCAAUUAAUUCCCUGUUUGUGGGGUACAUAUUGUUUUACGUACCAUGCCGUACAUGUUUGUAAGGAUUUCUAUCCUAUUGGCAAAAGUCGGUUCCAUACAAUUAAUCAAUUCAUUUCACUUCUAUUGGCUCUACUAUUUAUGCAUGUUACGACAUUUUUUCUCUCUUUCCCUUAUAUUUUGCCUUUAAUAUUAUUGAGUCAAUAGUAAAAUUAUACUAUUAUAAAUAGGUAGUUUGGUCUAACGCUAAAUUCAUGUUUGUCUUUCUUUUAUUCCCUUUACAUCUCAAAGUAUACCAUAGUUUGUGAUCAUUGUGGUGAUGAUACACUACAACAAAAAUGGCCUUUCCUGACAUGUCUAUAAGGACACUUGCUGGUUUUUGUCAUUAUAGCACUUCUAUCAUGACAUUUGUUAUCAAUUCACUAAUUUAUACUUUUUUUUAUUUUAUCUGAUAUAAAAAUAAUAAUGUGUCUUUAGAUUUCCUAUCAUGGCAUUUUAGAAAAUGUGAGAUACAACGAAAAAAUUAAAACAUAAAACGAUGUCGUUUGAUUUUGACGGAAGAUUCAUUUGCCAAAACACUUAGUGAAAUCUCAAAACUUUCAUUGUGUCGAUUCUUCUCCUCUCUCUCACAAACCCUCUCUCUCGGCAGACUAUCUCUCAAAACUCCCCCAUUUUGGUUCUUUUGUCUUCCGCCUUCGCCGCCGCCCCACUCCUCCAUUUUCGGUUGCUAACUUGGCCGCUUCUCUGCCCUAUUCGGUCAACCACGACACCUACACCAAUAAGUCUUCGCUCUCUUUGCUAGGACAAAAGGAAUAAAAAAACAGAUACUCAUGUUCUUUCCUUUUUCUUCUUUCCUCUGAAACCGAUCCCCAUGCUUCUCCGUACUGACUAGAUAUUCAGGUUGAGCGUGUUGAGGAGUAGAGUAGGCGAAGGUUGCCGCCAUCGUCUCAUUGAAGUCCAGCCACUACAGCGGAAAUCAUCACUGUAAAGUUUCCCGUACUCUUAUACCUUUUUUCCCCCUUAAUUGUAUUGUUUUCUUCUUUGUCUGCAAUCAUGUCGGUUAUGCUUUACUUUCGUCUUGUUAAUCGAUUUUAAGUGGCUGGAAUUGAUCAUAGGUUUGAGUAGAGUUUUAGAUUUAAAAUUCAAGCUCAGGCCGUAUAAGGAACUGAUGAAAAAGAAAUUUCAAAACUUUUCAUCCUCACUACUUGUUUGUCGGAAGGUUCGAAUGAAGAAAGAAGGAAAUUUGCAAUGGAAGUGAACAGAGAGAGAUGAAAGUGAUUGGAGAGUGAAAUUUUGCCUUGGUGAACUUUUCUUUUGUUUUUGAUCAUCAAGUGCAAUAGAAAAGUACAUUUAGUACAAUUUCCUAACUAUCUUAGAGGAAAUCUUGUUUGGAACUUUCGCUGGAUGCUAUGCAACUUAUUUUUGAUGCUUUGGUCAUGAUUGUUGUUCUGUUUGCUACAGCCCCAUAAGAAGGUUUUUUUUUAAUUAUUAUUAAAAAUUACCGCAUAGCUUGGAUACUUUUGCAUUCCAUGCACCAUGUCAGCUAUUCAUAGCACAUAGCACUAAAGUAGAGCACUCUGUAAUUUUGGAGAUGUUUCAUCUACGCAUUCAAUUAUUUCGAGUUUUUAGUCCAAUGGGUAAUAAAUUGGUUGUACAUCACUUAUUAUGUUGCAUCCCAGUUAUAUUGACCUAGAACAAUUACCAUAUAGACAAAAAGAAGAUAUUAACUGCAGCAAAUUGAAGAAUAAAAAGAGUAUUUGUCAAAUCUUUUCUCCCAACAUCCCUCGUAAUUCUUUCCCCCAACCUCAACUUAGGCACACAUUGUGUCUCUCCUUUUCUUCUUCAAACUAAAUGUUCUUCUCAUGGACAAAUAAGAAUAAUUUGAAUUUAUGAGGAUACAGAGGAAGAGAAUGAAGAUGGAGAAGUUAAUUGUUAUAACUCCAGUUAUGAUAAAGUUGAAGAUGACUUUACAUAAGAUGGAUUAAGUGACUAGUGCUCUAUUGUAAGAUGCUGGGUGCAUAUCUUAAUUUCUUUGAAUUGACUUUAUAUCUCAAAAAAAAAAAAAAUUGAAGGGAUUCUAUAUUUAUUUGACUUGUGUGGUAUUUAUUUGUGUGACUGUCUUGUUUUUUGUCUGCUUUUAUGAUCUAGAGCAUUGAUUACUCUAUAUUUUUAGACAAGAAUAUAUUGUUUUUGUUGUAGAAUUUCUGUAGAAAAAAUACAGAUCUUGCACAUUAAACCCAAUGGGGACUGUUUGCACUAUAAUGCAUUAUGGGCAACUAACAAAUUGGGAUUUGCUAGCCAUUCAAUAUUUUGUAAAUCCUCUGCAGUGUAACAUACUGGAAAUUGCCUUUCAGUUACAGUCUCCAGCGAAGUGUCCUGAUUUAGUCUUUCAAGUUGGAAUGUGACUAAUAGUUUCUUAUCUUUUAAAAGUUUGCCAAUUUCAGGAGGAUUGGUUACAUAGUUUUUUAAGAUUUCUUUCCUCCAGUGGGCACUUAAAAAAAUAGUGAUUAUUGAGUGCUUUGAUCUGUUGAAAUUUAAUUGAAAAUUUUCCGAUCAUUAAUUGACACACUUCAAAAUACUAAUGACUACAUAUGUCAAAGCACAACCUAGGAAAUUAUAUCAGCACGUGCUCCGAUUGUAUGGUACUAAACUUGCAGUGCUUCCACAAAGAAUGUGAAGAGCACAUAUAUACUGAUCAUUGAAAAGAUAGAUUUCUAUUAUGAUUCUGCUAAUGUUUGAAGCACUAAAUGUGAAAUUGCUAUCUAUUUUGAAUGAGUAUCUGUUUCUAUGAAAACUUUGGACAAAUAUGCAUAUGACAAUAGUUUCUAAUGAAGUUACAAACGAUGCUGAACCUUUGGCAUUAUACCAAGAAGGUGUUAAUCAAGUUAACUGGUUACACUUCUAAGCCCUUGCCUGUGGGCAGAAUCUGAGCUAGCUUUAUUCAUUUGUAGCAAGAAGUAAUUUUGCAUGCCAAUGCCAUGCAUUGUUGACUAACCUGUCGCAUUCAGUGUUUGGACAGGUGGGAGUAUAUUGGCGGCACUUGGUUCCUUUCAGCAAAUUUGGUUUUCAAAAUCUGAGUAAGCUUUUACAUCUACUCUACCUUUCAAUAUUCAACUUUUCUUCUUUUUUUCUCCCCAUUUUCAGUCUGUUUUAUCUCUCGAUUAAUAGGUUUGAGGAACAUGGAACUUCUUAUGUUCAAAGAAAAUGCCCGUAAAGUACUUUACUGGUGCGGACAAUUAUCACAUUAGACAGAAAUUCAUGGAGCUGACUUCACUUUGAUUAGUUCGCUGACGGUAUGGGUUGCUCGGUUUUAAUAUCCUGCUUUAUAGGAGCCCAAGCAAUGUACUAUAUAUAUACUAUACCUCUCGCGGAUCGUUGCUAAUGUUGUACAAUUACGUUACCUGACUUUUAGCAUUUCUUUCAACUGGUUAGGGAUGAGAGUCUUUUUGUUUGUGCACAAGAAAGUCUUUCAAGUUAUUGUAAAUGAGAAUCUUUCGGUAAUUUUUUGGGAUUUUAGUACUUGCUUUGAGCAUUUGUUUGCGAUUUUAGUACUUGCUAUGUUUGUACUUGUUAUUGACUUUUAAUUCAAUGAAUUAUAUUUGAGUAUCGACUUCUUCUUUUAAAUUGCUAUAUGCAUUCUGCCUUUUGGGAUAAUUUUACAAGUCCCUUGGGAUUCUGGUUGAUGGAAUGUACAGCAGGGAGGACUAAUUACAGGUUGCUUCCAUAUGAAAAAAAAACAGGAAAAAACUCCUGGCAAUUAGAAGUGUCAGCAUAGCUUAGCUUCAAAAAACACUAAUGACAAAUGGGCAUGUCAUCCAAAGCAGUGUAAAUUCACAUGGCUACGUGUCCUUAAAGCCAUAUAUUAAGACAAUUCAAGAUGCCUUCAUAAAUUGGAUAUACUACUAAUCCGCUACUGAUGUUCUAAUGCUAUACGGACACUUUCGAUUAUCACAAAAAAAAGUUUUUGUUGGCAGAGGGAAUGCUAUAGCAGCAUGGUUUUCCUGACACAUUUGAAUGUUGCCAAAGAUUUGAGGCUAUCCCCACAUUGGAAGGGACAACACUCGCCCUAGGUGUGAGGAUAGAUAAAAUGUCAGGUUAGAUUAUCUAUACUGACACCUUUAAAUGCCGCUAAAGGCCAUUUUUGUUAUAGUGAUAUUACCGGCUGGUACAUAUAGUUUAAGGCAAAGACAUGAUAUUAACCUAUCUCAUUGAAACAUAAGGAAAAAUCAUGACAAGUGUGAGUCUUGGAUAAUGCACAAUUUGUAAGUGGAAUUUAUACUUAUAAAACUCAAAAAAAAAAUUUCACAAUGCUAUUACUAAUUAAUUAAGGACUUUAUUGCUAUAAUUUAUCGCUUACUAGUUUAAACUGUAAAUGAUCUCAAUAUUUUUCUCCGUGAUGUCGAUUUCUUUAGACUACGAAAGGGAAAAAUUAGUGACGUAUCCCCUACUUAGUUAUAAACUUUUCCAGUGGUUUUAAAUCCCUCGGGCUAAGGACGUACACUUGAUCCAUGAAAAUGACUAGUAGAAGAUUUUUUUUAAGAAUCAAAGAAAUGCAUUAUUUUUUCGGUCUGUUUUCAAGAAUUUGAGCAGUAUACAGAUUAAAGAGUGUUUUUUUUUAAACUUGCUUAUCAACAUAGAAAUGCACAUAGCUGAAAGCCAACUGAAUAUUUGCAGGCAAAGGAGAAGGCAAUCGGUGUUUGAGACCGUCAAGAAGAUGUAGAAGAAUAAGAAUAAAAGCCCAAUGCGAGGAUGAUUCCAAGUUUCUACGUUACUAUUUCUACAUCUAAAUUGACUUUAGCUCCUGAGUUCCAUGUUUAUGGGGUUUGUACCGUUUUACGUACCAUGCAGUACAUGCUUGUAAGGUUUUCUGUCCUGUUGGCAAGCCGCAAGUCCAUAUAAUAAAUGAAUACUAUUUAUAUUACGACACUUUUCUCUCUUUCUCUUAUAUUUUGUCUUUAAUAUUGUUGAUCAUUUUUUUUAUCAAAAGUAUCAAAUGCUUAGGUAAUUUGGUCUAAUGCUAAUUGUUUUACUUUUAUUUUUCACCUACAUCCCUUUUCAACUCAAAGGAUGCUACAGUUUGUGAUCAUUGUUUAAGACCGAAGCAUGGUACUAAUAAAUAUCUCAUUGAAAGUCAAGGAAACUAACAUUAUGAAAAGUGUAAAUCUUGAUUUGAUGAAACUAUUUAUUCGUGGAAUUUAGAGAUACAAAACUCAAAUUGUGACGGUGUUGCUGCUAAAUUAUUAAGGACAUUAUCACCAUUAUUUUUCCCUCACUAGUUUCAUCUGCAAUGAUCUCAAUCUUUUUGUAUUGAUCGGUUGUAAUGAAUCGCGAUUGAUUGGUUGUAAUCCGCUUGUAUUGAUCCCACUAUUGUGGAUACUUCUACGCUCAACAAAAAAUAUAUAUAUUAAAGAAUUAGCAAUAUUUUUUAGAACAAGUUAAAUUUAUUCAUACAAAUUAGACAAAGAAGUAUUUUAAAGACCAUGAUGAAAUUAAUACUUCCAAGGUCUCUAUUAGGAAGACUUCCUUGCCUUGAGUUGCAGUUGCGUGCAGAUGUUUAUAUUUCAAAUUGAUGGUAUAGUAAAAAUGUUGAAUUUCUUUAUCCCCGUGACUUCAAAAAUAUGAACUCAAGAAAUUAACUUCUUAACCAGUAUGUCAUACAAGCUUCACAAGAAAUGUAUAACUUUGCAACUAGAGUCAAUAGAAAUCGUCACAUAAUUAUUAAUUUUACAUCGAAAUUAAGCCUGUAUGACAUACUGGUUCGAGGUUUGGCCACGCUACCUUCCUAUUGUUUAAAAAUUCUCACAUAAUCCCUUGUACUUUGGACUAAACUCGAAUGUGAAAAGAAACCAUCCAAGCUAGUUUGGGAUACACUUGUUGCACUUUGAACUAAACUUGAACGUGAAAGGAAAUCCCAAAACCAUAUUGGGCAUGAAUUCACACUUAAUAGACCCAAAAAAAGAUGGCGACUGGUGAUGGAGGUGAAAGGCAGUGGGGACUGGUGGAGAGAUUUGAGGAAUAGAAGCAGACGAAAAAGCAACAAAUUUUUGCCAAAAAACGGUGACUUUCAUGGUUAAUAUUGCUACUCUCUAAUUGUACUUGACCAAUACAACAGUGAAAUUGUAAUUUAUGCUGAAGAUGGAGUUUGAUACGUGAAGAGAAUUUUUUAUAAAUUUUAUUUUGACCCAUAAUGUUAUCUUUAGAUACAAAAAAUAUUUUAAAAUUUUGAUUUUGGCCCGGUUAACUUUUGGUAAACAAAAAAUGCUCAUGCUUAGUGACAGGUUGUCGAUGCCUGUGCAAAAAUAAAAAUAAAUCUAGUUGCCAAUUAAAAUAAUCAGAGCCCAAUUCUGAGUACUGGAGCAGGGACUCUAGGUGUGCAAUGGGUUACUUGAUUCACUCUAUUUCCGAAGAGUUUGCUUAACCCGAUAUACCAGAAUGGGAUUGCUUAUUCAAAAGGAAUUGUUGAUUUGUAAACAGGGCAAGUAGGGUCGUAUUCUCAGGUGGGCUGGCGGUGCGCGGUCAAUCGACGGAGAAAGAGAGGAAAGGACGCGGGUGGAGGUUUUUGGGUUUUGGCCAAGAGAAGAGGGAACGCAGGGAAAGAGAGAGAGAGGGGCGGUGCUCGGGAAGGUGAGCGGCGGACGACGGCUAGGAGGGAAAAGGAGGAGCGGCGUGCGAAGUUAGAGAGGAGGAGGGAGGCGGCAUACGAAGGAAAAAGAAAUCAAGGAAGAAGAAAGAAAGAAAAGAGGAAGAAAGAAAAGAAGAAGGAAAAAAAAUAGUUUUUGGGUUUUUUUUCAAUUUUUUUUUAUUUUUUUGAAUUUAAAUGUCAAAUUUUGAAUUUUUGAAAAAAAAAACUGAAGGUUAAAAAGGAAAAUAAUUUUAUUUUGCUAAAAAAAAAUUUUUAUUUUUUUAUUUUUUUUUGUUUUGGAUCGUCAAACACAGCGUGGGCACGCCAAAAUUAUAAAACGUCCACUGAUCUUGGGAGUCACUGACACGGCGUGGGCACGCCAAGAUUUCACUUCCUGCCAACGUCGCGAGAUGUUGAAAUUGUACUAACAUGGCGUGGGCACGCCAAGAUUGGUAAACAUCCACUGGCCUUGGGAGUCACUUUUUGAGUGUCCUCCUCGCGUGGGCAUGCCAAGAUUCUAUGUCCUGGUCACAUUGGAGAAAAAUAUGAAAAUUGACUAGUACCCAAAUGAAAAACGACAAAUCGAAAGAAUUGAACAACAAAAAAUAAUAAAGCUAAUAUUUGGGUUGCCUCCCAAAAAGCGCCUUUUUUAACGUUUUUUGUUAGACGUUGAACACCACUCUUCAAUUUGGAUGUAAUUCAAUUUUCCUUGUAAUCGGUGGUCCUACUCCGGGUUCCAAAUAAUCAUUGAGUGCAGCCUUCUUUCUUUAUUUUCUAUUCAUUUUCACCUCAUAAAUUGCUUUCAUUCCCUGAUAUUUGUUCGCAAGAAUUUUGAAUUUACCCCUACAACCAAACUCAAAAAAUUCUUGCACAAAGGAAUUAGUAGCAUGAAUAGCAAACACAGAAUGAGAGUUAACAGUAUGUUUUAUUGUAUUAAAAAUAUUAAAAUGGACUAUUUCUCCAUCGAAUUCCAUUGUGAGAGUACCCUUACUAACAUCAAUCUUAGUUUGGAUAGUACUCAAGAAUGGCCUUCCUAAUCUAAUGGAUGAUGGAUUUGGGACACUUUCAUCAUCCAUAUAAAGCACAUAAAAAUCAGCAGAAAAAAUUAAUCCAUCUACUUGCACUAAAACAUUCUCAACUACCCUAUCUGAAUAAGUAAAUAUACGAUUAGCCAAUUAAAUUAUUAUCCCUAUUUCUUUUAAAGAUCCUAAAUUUAGGGAAUCAUAAAUUGAUUUAGGCAUCACAUUAAUAGAAACUCCUAAAUCUAGCAUGGCAUUUUUUAGAUUAGAAUGUCCAAUCUUACAUGGGAUAGUAAACAUACCUAGAUUCCCGUAUUUAGGUGGUAGUUUCCUUUGUAAAAUUGCUGAAAUGUUCUCAUCUACCACAAUAUGCUUGUCCUCCCUCAAUUUCUUCUUGUUGACACACAAGUUUUUCAAGCAUUUAGCGUAUUUUGGCACUUAUUUGAUCGCGUCCAACAAAGGAAUAUUGAUUGCCACCUUGCGAAAAAUGACGGAAUUUUUAUAUCAAUGCAAGUUUAAAUUCGAUUUUAUACCCGUUGACUGCAAGUAUACAGGCCGAAAUUGUAAUGUAGGGUAUGUAUCGGGUCGAUCCCACGAGGAGCAAAUUAAACAAGUACUAAGCCCUUAUUUUUCUCUAUUAUUUAGACUCACAAUAAAUUUGAACAGAGAAAGUAUAUUGCUAAAAUUUACAAAUUUGAUAUACAAAUAUAAUUUAACAAAUGCUAAAUGCAAAAGAAGAAAUUUCACUCAAGGAAGAAUUUAGGGAUGUAGAUUCCACUUAUGGCAUAAACAACACAAAUGAAUGGAUUUACCUCUUAUUAUUAUUCUUGUUUAACUAGGGAUUCAUUUCCAAAAUUAUCAAGUCUCAUUUUCAUGAUGAAAUGGCCUAGACCAAUAUAGUUUUCCCUAUUUUCAUGGUGAAAUACUACUACUACUCUGUUUUAUUUCAUGAAAUGCUGAAUAAUCCACCUAAGUGUAUCUCUAUUUUCAUGAACAUACAACUUAAGCUCUACUCAUUUAUUUCCAUUGUUACUACCAAUUCUCAUUGAAUAAUAACAACUAUAAACAUACUAUUGGUGAUCAAUCAAUAACAAGUAAUCACAACUACACAAGUAAACAAGUUAAUACAAAAUAUAACAAGUGUAAAUCACAUUCAAGUCAUAUUAUUUAGCCAUAAGUUUCAUCUACUUCCUAGAUAAAGAAAAUUAGCUACUCAUGAAUGAUUUAACAAUCAAACUCACAAGUUUAUUAAUGCAAAAUAUCAUAAAGUACAAGUACAAGAAAGAUAAAAGAAAUCUUAGCCAAUUGAUGGUGAAUCCCUCCAAUUUCUGCUAUGUUCUUGUACAAGAUGAUUACAACUGAAAACUCCAAAUGCUUCUCUAAGGACUCCUAGCUAGAGAGAAAAUGUUACAAGAAGGAAAAACUAGCUACGUAUGGUCCUGUCCUGCUUCUCCCCUGUGUUUUUGCAUAAAAGGUAGUAGAAAGUCUAUUUUCCUCUUCAUAAUUUCCUCCAUUCAGAUUUUGUAAAAAGAAGUCAAAGAUAUGAUGUUUCCUUUUUUCUACAACUCAUUUGGUCUUCUCUUUUGUUGCAGAAGCAUGUGCCACCGAUUUCUAUCCCUCAAAAUAGUUGAAAAAAUUGUGAGAAAGGUAAAGAAAAACAGCUGUGUCACUUGCUGAGCAGAGAGACAAAUCCGAGCCUCGGAUCCGGGGGUGAAACUGGAUCCGAGGACUUCCCAAGGUGGAUCCGAGGUCGGAUCGUUCUGACCUUGGAUACACUCCUCCAAAAGUACAUACGAGGGCUCGGAUCCCUCUUGUUCACACGGAUCCGAGCUCGAAUCCGUGUUGAUUAAAUUUUCAGUUUUUCACUUCUUUCCUUUUUCUACAUUUUUGCUCCCAAUUUCUUUUGUACUUUGUCCUCUGGAUGAUCCUUGCAUUUCUUUCAACUUCGUGCACGAAUUUCAUACAUCAAUAACCUUCACAAUUUCACAAAAUUAACUCAUUAAUCCACUCAUUUAUCAAGUUUUGAACACUUAAACAAUAUUUUAAGUAAUUAUCACUAAAAGAGUUCAAAUAUGGCUUUAAUCUUCUCAAAACAUGCCAAAGAUUCAUGCCAAAUCUGUACAAAAUGUACGUUAAAUAUUCACUUAUCAAAAAACCUCUAAAAUCUCCUUUUCUUUAUCUUGCUUCUUUGAUUUCUCUAACCUGCUCGGAAAAGGCGGUAAGUUAGUUCCAACUCUAAUUAUAGAAUCAGGAAUUAUCUUUGGAUUCGCAUUUCUCAUUCCUUCCUCCUCAAGCUCUUUGUCAAUUCAAUCUUCAUUUUUAUCUUUCGGAAUCACAAGUUCGGAUCUCUGAAUUUUCUUCCCGUUCCUUAAGAUCAUUGCACUUACAUUUUUCAGGUUCAGUUCAGGUUGAGACGGUAAUUUUUCAUAAACUUGGGAUUCCAGGCGGUUGAUUGCUAUUGCCAUCUAACUCAUCUGAUUCUGCAUUACUUGCAUCUGUCCCAAUUGAUUUUUCAUACUUUGUAGGUCAGAAUCCAUUUUUUGUUGAUUAGCAAUUAAUUGCUUCAUCAUCUCUUCUAUAGACAGACUUGAGUUUGAAGGAGGUGGUGGCGGGCGAGACUGAUACUGUUAUUGAUACCCUUGCUGUCUAUUUGGUGUAAAAUCUGGCUGCCUAUUUCCUCCAUAGUUGAGGUUGGAAUGAUCUCUCCAACCAGGAUUGUAUGUAUUCGUGUACGGGUCGUAUGGCUUUCUUAGCACGGGCGCGUAACCAGCCAUGUUCACUUGCUCCGUACUUUUCUCUUGAAUCAUUGAGCACAUCUCUGUAGAAUGACCCAUAGCAGUGCAGAUCCCACACAAUUUGGCUCGUGAUGUAUUUCCUAUAGCUAAUUGCCUAACAAAGGAUGUUAAUUCGGUCAACUGCUAUUGGAUGGAAUAUGUCUCUACCUCAUUUACUUUGCGUGUCGGGACAUCUUCCCUCGUAUCAAACUGUUACGAAUUCUCCGUCAUUCCUUCAAUUAGCUCCUACGCUUCUCAAGAAAUUUUGUUCACCAAUGCCCCUUCACUUGCAGCAUCAAUUAUACUCCUGUCUCUAAAAAACAGCCCCUCGUAAAAAUAUUGGAUGAGCAAUUACUCACUUAUUUGGUGUUGAGGGAACUUGAUGCAUAACUUCUUGAAUCACUCCCAAUAAUCAUAAAGCGACUCUUCUAGAUACUGCUUGAUACCGCAUAUCUCCUUCCUUAGGCUUGCAGCUCGAGACGCAAGAAAAUAUUUGUUCAAAAACUUUUUCUUCAACUGAUCCCACGUGGUGAUGCUACUUGGUGGUAAGUAGUACAGUCAGUCUUUUGCGGAGUCCUUCAAGGAGAAGCAGAAUGCUCUCAUUUUUAUCUGUUCUUCUGUAAUUUCCGGAGGUUUCAUACUGUUGCAAACGACAUCAAACUCUUGCAAAUACUUAUACGGUUCCUCACCUGCUAAAUCAUAAAAAGAUGACAAGAGAUGAAUUAGACCAGAUUUUAACUCAAAUGGAGUGGUUAUCAUUUAAAUAUGGAAAAGUAAUACAUAAGGGCUGCUGUUUUAAAUCAGGAGCAGCAAACUCCCUUAGUAUCCGUGCAUUAGCCAUAGUGACUUCUUCUCGAUCCGAGUCACUAGAAGUAUCACUAUGUGAAUCUGUUAGUUCAACUUCUGGCUUAGGUCUUUGAGAUGAAGCACUGGAGUGCUCUUCUCUAAGUUGUCCGGUCUCUUUCCUUAUUUUAUGCGCAGUCUUCUCUACCUCGGGGUCAAAAAUUAAUUCACCUGUAUGAGAAGAAUGAGGCAUAUACUAGGAAAGCACUAGAAAAUUAGAACAAAAAUGAACCUAAAAAGAAACAAAUAAACCAACACCAGUCCCUGACAACGGCGCUAAAAAUUGACAGGUUAUCGAUGCCUGUGCAAUAAUAAAAAUAAACCUAGUUGCCAAUUAAAAUAAUCAGAGCCCAAUUCUGAGUACUGGAGCAGGGACUAUAGGUGUGUAAUGGGUUACUUGAUUCACCCUAUUCCCGAAGAGUUUGCUUAACCCGAUAUACCAGAAUGAGAUUGCUUAUUCAAAAUGAAUUGUUGAUUUGUAAACAGGGCAAGUAGGGUCGUAUCCUCAGGGAUUGGAAAAAAUUUGUUUCUUUUCAAAUCCACAGUAACAAGGAGGUGUUUUUGUAUAAACGAUAACAAUCUAAGGAGUGCAAAUAGAAAUAAAUAGAUAACUAGAAAUUAAAUGACAAUUCACUAAAAUUAGAAUAAUAAUAAUUAAAGGUCUAGCCAAGAAAUAAUUUCAGCAAUGGUUCACCUAAUUGAUCAUCGACGCAAAGGCAAUUCCAAUUAUUUACUAAUAAAUAGAUUAUAACUGUCAAACAAGUGAUGAUAGUCAACCCCUCCUUACUGUAUCAGUGAUUAAGGUAUGUCCGUUAAUCACUGCUAUAAUUGAGAAAUAAUCUUAGGUACGUCCGUAAGAUUUAAUUCCCCAAUUGCCUUACGUAUUAGAGGAGCCCUAUUCUAACCAAAUAACGCACUAUCAGGAUUAUUUUAAAUUAGCCCAUGUAUUCCCUUGAUACAAACCCAAUCAUGCCAGUUGUCACUAUUUCAAGGCAAUGAAACAAUUACGGAUUUAAUGCCCUAAUUGACUAUAGGUUACUAAAUCAAUUCACUAUCUCGAUCCAAGAUAAUCAAUCAAUUUAACAACUAAUAGCACUGCAAUCGGAGAAUAUGUAAAUACCAAUAAAUAAGAGGAAAAGAUAAAAUUAAAUCGAUCUCACAAUUUUUAGACAAACCAAAGCAUCAGUUAUUUCUUGACUAGAAAAGAAAAUUUAGUUCAUUCCUAAUGCGAAAGACCCACGCGAGAAUUCAAAAAUAAUAUUCACGGACAUCGUCUUGAUCCAGUAGAUUCAAUUGCGUUGGAAUAAGGAUAAAAAACCAAACUACAGAGAGUGAUUCAUUGUUUUGUUUCGUCUGCACUUUUUCUACACAUACGGAAGAAGAAAAACAACUAAAGGAUGAAAAAAGAAAAGUCAAAGAAAGCCACCCAAAGUAGUGCUUGGUCUCUACCAUCCUAUUUCCUAUCUAAUUACUACUUCCCUUCUGCGGCUGCCUAGAGGAAGAAAGAAAAGGAGACUCCAGGUCUUGUUCCAUCUCCUCCCUUUUCGGCAAUUCCCCAAAAGUAGAAAAGUUCCUCCGUUUACCAAAAUGCCCCUGGAAUGAGGACCGCUACUUGAACUCAUUUCCUGAUGACUGUCAAAUUGACACUUGUUAUGGUAUUUGCGUUCCACUCCCUGUAAUAAAUGCAAAUUGUCAAAAGUGAGUAAAAUUUGACAAUUAAUUUAAAUCGGGUCAGGUAAUAGGGGAAAUUAAUUAUAAAAUAAAUGAUAAAAUUGUAACCUAUCACUUAGAAUAACUAGAAAUAAAACAAAACAAGAAAUGAAAGAAAUAAGAGGGGUAGCAUAGACAUUUUGGAUUUUUCUGUUAAUUUGGAUGAUUUCCACCCACGGUCUAAUUUAAUCCAAAACACAAAUGGAUUAUGUGGAGGUUUUUAAACAAUGAGGGAGUAUCAUGAUCGAAUUCUAAAACACAAAGGGGAUUUACUAUAUUUUACUCUUAAAUUUUGGUUUCAUCUCAUAGCAUACAAGAGUACUAUUUCACUGUCUGUCGACAAAGAUUUUCUAUGGUUGAUGUACCAUAGGAAAAAUCUGCCUAUACCAUCAUUUGGAAAAAUUAUCAAUCCAAACAUAGCCACCAUAGCAUUUUUUCAAAAACACAAGAUGGAAAAUUGUCCCCUUAAACGUUGAAAUUCAUGAUCUUUCCUCGACCUAGUCUACUUGUCAAUUCUUGAAAAAAGAAUAGUCACGCCUAAAACACGGCCUCUUCAUCUGCAGAAUUCUAAAAAGUUAGGUAAACUCUAUAAACAAGUUGAUAGGUACAAUCGUACCCAAGAUCAAGUACAGGUAUUUGUACAUUCACUGCUGCAAUAACUAAUCUGAUGACUUACAAACACAUCAUGGUCAAUCGUUGAAUGGUAAUGAGUCUUUUGUUAUGCAUUAGUAUUAGUGUGUACACUCUAAUAGAUUGAUACUUAUACACUUUAAAUUAUCAUAAUAAUACCCUUAAUUAACUUUAACUCUUAAAAAGAAUACGUGUUAAUACACGAGAGUGUGUAAUAGAACGGCAAGCAUUAUGGUGGUCAUUGAGCAACUUAUAGGAGAAAUAGUCCUAUAAGCUGUUCAAUGACCAAUCACAACUUGCUAAUUGGAUGACUAAUAUAGCUCUAGCUGUAAUGUUUUAAUUAAAUUCCAUCACUAACGUUGGGAUGACUUUUUAACCAAAAAAAAAAGCCUUAGUUCAAGCUCUUCCCUUUAUUGUGCAUUUUUUAAAACAUUUGAUAGGCACUGCAAAUCUGUCAUUUUGGACAUUUUAUUAUUAACUAACCAUGAAAGCCGUGGACAUCAACCCAUAUCCAACAGAAUAUUAAAUUAAUAUUAGAAAAAAUUAUUAAGUAAUUGGAAAAAAAAAAGAAGAGACUAAUUUUCAUUGAAACCCACCGACAAACUAUACGUGUCCAUAGCUUUUGAUUAGUGCAUUCAACGUUUAAUUGUAUAGUCCAGUUCAUAGCCGAUUACAUGGAGUAAAGAUUGUGCUCUUUCCUUUUUCACCCCUUUUGGAAUCGAUACUGUGGAGAAUUGGGUUUUUCCCUCCUUUUUUUCUUUUCUUUCCUUCUGUGCUUUGCAAAACAUAGGUAAAAAUAUGAAAUCCGAAGCAUUCUUUAAUUGGGAUUAAGUAUUGUUCUUGAAAUUAAAAAGAAGAAAGAAAGAACAACAAAAAUCCCAAUCUGGGUUGAUUGUUGAGCUCUAGUUUGGCGGCAUCGUGCUUCCAUAGAAGUUCUCUUAGUGUGAUACGCUGCUUUCAAUCAGUUUAACACGGGAAAAAGAAAAGACAUGAAAAGCAAAUUUUGUGGGGAUAAUUUCAGAAAUCUCUCCUGAAGUUUUUUACUAUUUUACUGGCCUCCUUUCAAAUUUUAAAAAUUACACUAGUCUUCCUUGAGAUUAUUUAUCUUGUAACAUUUAGGUCCAAUCAAUAAUUAAAAGAUGAUAUUAUGAGAGAGAAAAAAAUAUGAUUUUAUCAUUGCCCCCAUCUUACUACAUUAUUGAAUUAAUUUAAUAGCAACCCACACAUUAAAGAAAAAUACUAAUAUUUGCUGUUUUUCAUUGAAGAUCAAAUCACAUGUGCCAUAAAAUAUAGUAUAUCAUUUUAUAUAUUUCACUUAAUGUAAGAUCCAAAUUAUUCUUUUCAAUUACAAAUCCAUUGUUAUUAUAAAAAAAAAAAUAAACUUUAACAUCAUAAAUAUUCUUAUCAAAAUAUUAAAGUUAGUUACUAAAAUUUUUAUGGUGUUAAAGUUCACUCUUUGUAAUAUUUAUGGGUUUGUAAUUGAAAAGAAUAAUUUGGAUCUUACAUUAAGUGAAAUAUAUAGAAUGAUAUACUAUUUUUUAUGGCAUAUGUGAUUCAAUCCUUGAUGAUAAAAAGCAAAUUCAAGUGUUUUCUUUAAUGUUUGUGCUGAUAUUAGAUUAAUUAAAUAAUUUAGUAGAUGAAAGAAAAUAGUGAAAUCAUAUUAUUUUUUCUUUCCUAAUAUCACUUUUUAAUUAUUGGUUGAACUUAGAUAUUACAAAAUAAUAAAUCUCAAGGGAGAUUAGUAUAAUUUUCAAAAUUUGGAGAGAAGCUAAUGAAAUAAUCAAAAACCUUAAGGGAGGUUUACAGAAUUAUCCCAAUUAUGUGGGAAUUAGAAUAAUUGUACUGGACGGCACUGCUGCAAUAGAGGGAAAGAGGAGAAGGUGCAGUUAACUUUUGUUGUUUGAAAUCCUUGGCGAAAUAUUACAGAAAGACAGAUAAAACGGUGGUUAGUACAUAAAUGUUUAUGACAGGGAAAAUGGUACGUCUGUUAAUCACAUUUGAAACAUUUUCAUUGGUGAAUGACCAAAAGUAUCAGGCUUGUCCAAUAGUUGAUCAUUGACCAAGAUAAAACCUGCCAUGGUAGAGCCGUAGAGGUACGAUCUUUUCGUACCUCUUAGUGCACAGGACAUUCCUUUGUUUCAUCUAGCUAAUAAUCUACCAACUCAUUUCUUCACAAAUGCACCUUUUAUGGUCACGUCUACGAAAGCCUUUACAGGAUCUUUACCCUAAAAAUCAAUUCACCGACUCCCAUUUGAUGUCAGAAAUUCUUCUACUUUACUCCAAGAUUGACUGUUAAUAAUAAUGAGACAAUGACCACUUUGAAUUAGGGGUGCGCAAAAUUAUCUGCUAAUCCGAAAAUCCGUCAUAUUCGAUCUGAUCCGAUCCAAAAAUUAGGAUAUUUGAUUUUUAUUAUUUGAUCGGAUCAAAAGAGGGUCGGGUAUCCGCUAAGAUACGGGGCGAGUUAGAGUCACAUAAUUAAAAAUUCGCGGGUAUCCGAUCCGCCCCGCAUAUAUAUAUUUUUUAUUUUUAUACACACUAUAAAAUAAUAAGUUAGAACCAAAUAAGUAAUUUUAUUGAACAAAUUGCAUUACAAAUAUGAGAGACUAUAGUUUAUUUACAAGAUUCAUUUGUAAAGGUCAUGAUCUUAUAUUUUAUAGAAAAAAGUUUAAUUAAUGUGGAACAUAUAUAUUAAAAAUUGUGCUACUUAUUUCAAACUUUUAUUGAUUUUGAUUUCUUUUAAUUUUUUUCCUUUAUCUUAUAUUCUCUUCAUAUGCUUGUUUCUUGGUGGGAAACCUUUUUUUAGAAAAAAAAAAUUAUUAAAUCUUAGAUGAAUGUGUAAAAUAUAAAAUUAAAUUAGUAUAAAUCAUUUUUUUAAAAAAAUUAAAUGAUAAACGGGACGGAACGGGUACCCGCUGAUCCGACCCUAUCUUAUCGGGUACCCGCUGAUAUGCGGGGCAGGUAAAAAUCAGAAAAUGACUGACCUGUAAGGUGCAGGUCGAAUCAAUCAAAUGGUGAAUGGGACGGGUAUACGACCCGCGCCAACACCUACUUUGAAUUAUCACACCAUCCUUCUUGAUAGGAUUGGUACUAGAGGUAGGGAGGGGAGUCGGCUGCAUCCGGUCUUCUUUUCAUAGAUGUCAUUCACGCAAUAUUAUAUUUCGAAGUCAUUGCAUGGCUAAGCUGCAAAAAAGUACGAACACUUGUUAUUAUAUAGCUUAAGAUUCAAAACGUUAGAGCAUAACCCUCCACCUAACACAAUUGAAUAAUGAAUAUUCACGAUUGUCAAAUCUGUCAAAGCACAGUUUGAGGACAACCCAUUCCAACCUGCAAAAGAUUUUUUACUUUUCUAAAGUUGUUGAGAGCUGUAAAAAGACUUACCAUGCUUACAUCUUCCGAGCCUUGGGAGUUAAAAAUGAAGGCACUGAGUGCUAUAAAAAGGGGGCUAGAGGCUGCCUAGAAGCAUAUCAGCCUAAAACAAGAAUUUGUAGUUAUGAUGGGAAGCAAAGCAAAAGCAAUGGGGUCUGGGCUGACUCCUCUUCUUACCACUCUUUUAGUGGUAUUUGUUGCUCUUGGCUUGCCCUCAGAAACUGCAGCUGAUGAUCACUACAAGUAUUCAUCUCCUCCUCCUCCUUACCACUAUCCCUCACCACCACCUCCAGAGCAUUUACCUCCACCAGUGUACAAAUACAAGUCCCCACCACCACCUCAUCAUGUUUACAAGUACAAAUCUCCACCACCCCCACCACCACACCCAGUUUACAAGUAUAAGUCGCCACCACCACCUCCUCAUCCGGUACCACACCCAGUUUACAAGUAUAAGUCACCACCACCACCUCCUCAUCCGGUACCACACCCAGUUUACAAGUAUAAGUCACCACCACCACCUCCUCAUCCGGUAUACAAGUAUAAGUCUCCUCCGCCACACCACACCCAGUUUACAAGUAUAAGUCACCACCACCACCUCCUCAUCCGGUACCACACCCAGUUUACAAGUAUAAGUCACCACCACCACCUCCUCAUCCGGUAUACAAGUAUAAGUCUCCUCCGCCACCACCACACCCAGUUUACAAGUAUAAGUCACCACCACCACCUCCUCAUCCGGUACCACACCCAGUUUACAAGUACAAGUCACCACCACCUCCUCCCCCAGUUUACAAAUACAAGUCUCCACCACCACCAGUUUACCACUACAAGUCACCACCACCUCCUCCCCCAGUUUACAAAUACAAGUCUCCACCACCUCCUCACCACUACUAAGCAAUUGCUUCUGAGGUAAUAACACUUGUUCAAUAUACCCACUUCUGCAUGAUAAAACAUAUCUCUAUCAACACAAACUGUCAUGUCUAUCAUGCUAAGUGCCUUCACUUCAUCCACCAAAAUGACUGCUAGAAAAUUUUUUUUAUGUUACCAAAGAAAGGCAUCAUUUUUUCCCUCUGUUAUCAAGAACUUGUACAGUAUAUAGAUUAAAGAGUUUUUUUUUAACUAGCUUAUCAACUUAGAAAUGCAUAUAGCUGAUAGCCAGCUGAAUAUUUGCAGGCACAGGAGAAGGAAACCAGUGUUUGAGACCUUCUUGAAGAUGUAGAAGCAUAAGAAUAAAAGC
This 74908-nucleotide long non-coding RNA is filed under the name Coffea arabica (coffee). Its description in RNAcentral is "long non-coding RNA (CARA_LNC006959)". The stretch from base 67487 to 67593 matches the Rfam family "Plant small nucleolar RNA R71". The record is from RNAcentral. Lineage: Eukaryota; Viridiplantae; Streptophyta; Magnoliopsida; Gentianales; Rubiaceae.